CUCUUUUUUCUGGCUGGAACCAUGGAGGGUGCAGAAGAGAAGAAGAAGAAGGUUCCUGCUGUGCCAGAAACCUUUAAGAAAAAGUGAAGGAAUUUCACAGAGCUGAAGAUCAAGCACCUGAGAAAGAAGUUUGCACAAAGGUGCUUCAAAAGGCAAGGAGGAAGCUUAUCUAUGAAAAAGCAAAGCACAGCCAGGUGCAGUGGCUCACACUUGUAAUCCCAGCACUUUGAGAGGCCGAGGCGGGUGGAUCACGAGGUCAGGAGUUCAAGACAAGCUUGGCCAAGAUGGUGAAACCCCGUCUCAAUGAAAAACAAACAAACAAACAAACAAAAACUACAAAAAUUAGCCAGCCACAGUAGCAGGAGCCUGUAAUCCCAGCUACUCAGGAUGCUGAGGCAGGAGAAUCGCUUGAACCCGGGCAGCAGAGGUUGCAGUGAGCCUCGAUUGCACCACUGCACUCCAGCCUGGGCAACAGAGAGAGGCUCUGUCUCAAAAAAAAAAAAAAAAAAGAAAGAAAGAAAGAAAGAAAAGAAAAGAAAAGAAAAGAAAAGAAAAAGAAAAAGAAAAAGAAAAGCACUGUAACAAGGAAUAUAGGCAGAUGUACAGAACUGAAAUUCGAAUGGCCAGGAUGGCAAGAAAAGCUGGCAACUUCUAUGUACCUGCAGAACCCAAAUUGGCAUUUGUCAUCAGGAUCAGAGGUAUCAAUAGUGUGAGCCCAAAGGUCCGAAAGGUGUUGCAGCUUCUUCGCCUUCGUCAAAUCUUCAAUGGAACCUUUGUGAAGCUUAACAAGACUUCAAUUAAUAUGCUGAGGACUGUAGAACCAUAUAUUGCAUAGGGGUACCCAAAUCUGAAGUCAGUAAAUGAACUAAUCUACAAGCGUGGUUAUGGCAAAAUCAAUAAGAAGCGAAUUGCUUUGACAGAUAACACUUUGAUUGUUCGAUCUCUUGCAUCAUCUGCAGGAAGGAUCUGAUUCAUGAGAUCUAUAAUGUUGGAAAACGCUUCAAAGAAGCAAAUAACUUCCUGUGGCCCUUUAAAUUAUCUUCUCCAUGAGACAGAAUGAAGAAAAAGACCAUCCAUUUUGUAGAAGGUGGAGAUGCUGGCAACAGGGAGGACCAGAUCAACAGGCUUAUUAGAAUGAACUAAGGUGUCUACCAUGAUUAUUUUUCUAAGCUGGUCAGUUAAUAAACAGUACCUGCUCUCAAAUUGAAUACAAAAUAGUAAUAAUAACCUCUCUUUCUCACCGUACACUAAAAGCAUUUCCAAAUGAAUUACUGAUCCAAAUGUGAGAAGUAAAACAAUAAAGCUUUCAGUAGGAAAUAUUUACAGUAGACAAAAAUUUCUUAAACAGGACACAAAAAGUACUAAAUAUAAAAGAAAAAAUAAUAAACUGGACCACAAUAAAGUUAAUAACAUAUGUUCAUUUCAUGAAAAUGCAUCAUAAGGAGUGUAAAGAGACAAGACACAGACUGGAAGAAAAUAUUCAUAAUACAUAUAUUCCACAAAGGACUCAUAUUCAGAAUGCAUAAAGAACUCUUACAACUCAAUAAGAAAAAGGCAGAUAAUUCAAUAGCAAAGAUGAGGCAAAAGACAUGAAGAUUCACCUUACAAAAGAGGAUAUCCAAAUGGCGAAUAAACAUAUGAAAAUGUUCUAGACUUCAUUAGCCAUCAAGGAAAUGCAAAAAACAAAAACAUAACGCCCACAAUGUGACACUACCACAUACCUAGCAGAAAAGCCAAAAUGGAAAAGACAAAUAAUACCAAAUAUUGGCAAAGGUAUGAAACAAUGGGAAGUGUUCUAUCUGCUGGUGAAGAUAUAAAUCAUUAUAACUGCUUUGGAAAACUUUUUGGCAGUGUUUAUUAAAGCUAAACAUACUCAUACCCCAUUCCUUGGUAUUUCCCCUUAGGUAUAUACUCCACAAAACUGGGUGUAUAUAUUCGUCAAUAGAUAUGUACGAGAGUAUCCAUAGCGGCUUUAUUCAUAAUAGCACCAAGCUGGAAACAACCCAAAUACCUUGUACAGUAAGAUGGAUAAAUUGUGGCAUAUUUAUACAAUAUAGAAAUAAAUUGCUAUACACAACAUGGAUUAAUCUCACAUACAUAACAUUGAACAAAAGAGGACAGACACAAAACAGUGUGUAUUUUAGGAUUCUACAUAUACCAAGUUUCAAAACAGGCAAACUAAUCUAUGAUGCUGGGAGUUGCCACAGAGAUUACCCUUGAGAGGAGGAGCUAGUCAACAGAAAGGGACCCUGCAGGGGCUAAUGUUCUAGGGUGCUCAUAAUGUUAUUGAUCUGUGUGCUGAUUACUCAAGUGUGUUCACUGGGUAAAAAUCCGUGGAGCUGUACACUUAGAAUUUGUGCACUCUUCUGUACACUUGCUAUACUUCAGUGAAAAGUUUAUAACAUGAAAAUAUAAACACAAACUACAUUUAAGGAAUAAAGUCCAUGUAGGAAAAUAAAAAAUCCAUGAAAACUGCUUUGCAAACUCAAAUCUAUAAAUGACAGCAAAAUGGAUAGCUUCUAAUUAUCCCGAUUAUUCUCUUCAAAAUGAGAAUUUGUUGUGGGGUGGGGAGGAGGGAUAGCAUUAGGAGAUAUACCUAAUGUAAAUGACGAGUUAAUGGGUGCAGCACACCAGCAUGGCACAUGUAUACAUAUGUAACAAACCUGCACGUUGUGCACAUGUACCCUAGAACUUAAAGUAUAAUAAUAAUUUAAAAAACUUGAACAUUCCUUAAGAAAAAAAAAGAAAAUUUGCUUUUUAAUUUAUUUAGUAUCUAUGUCCCACUUUCAAAAAUAAUUUGAAGCCAUGGUCUUAUUUGUUGAACAAAUACACAUAAGGGGCUUUUUAGUUUUCAUUGGAAGCUUUUAGGGCAUCAAAGUUGUUCAAUUUUGUUUGGUUUACUUUUACUUUUUUCCCCAUGUUAAUAUACAGGUUUAUAAAAAUACAAUUUUUCUUGGCUAACACCCUCUAAUGAAGAUUAACAACCCUAAUAUUUACAUAACCAGCAAGCAAAUUAAGCUGAGCAAGACACAGUCCACCCAAUCAGGAUCUUUGGAAGGCUUCAGCCAGUGGCUGUAGUUCAGGUCUAACAGCUUGGCAUUCAUUGGAAAGGGAAGAUUGGGAGCAAUUAUUUCAAUAAGCCAAGCCAAGAAACACAGCUAUGCUAUUCAGGGAAAAGAGGAGGCCACAGAGACCAAGUCUACUUCUAGCAAAACGGAACCCGGCUGGCUAGUAAAAGCUGAUGUUUCCCUACUCUGCCGUGUGUAUUGGCUUUCACCUCUUCUGGAGGAAAGCUUUUGCAGAGGACAGAUGGUUCUCUUACAUUUGUAUAAUGCCUUAUUAUUUUCAGAGUUUCCUAGAUACCAAUAGCAUCUGAAUCUCAUACUCACCUUACAAUGAAAAUAGAGAAGGUUAGUAUUAUCCCCUUUUCAUUGGUGAAAGAACUGAGACUCAGACAACUAAGAGACUCUUUAAAACGACAUGGCUGGCAAGUUCCAUAGCAUGGAUAGAACAUAUUUGUCAUGUGCUCUGUCCUUUGUACCAUGGGGUCUCUUGGCUUCUCUCCAAGCCACUUAAGAGAAUGAGAUCCCACUUCCAAAACUUGGAAAAAAAUUAAGCUAGGAUUAUUAGACACUGGGCAGCAGGCAAGCUGGAAGCUGUGCCACAGUCAAAGGAAAGGACAGCAUUCACCUUCAAGAUCAUGCAUUGUGGAGGCACUGGGGGGUACAGGGAGAUAGGUAGGUGCCAAGACUCCUACUUGUAGCAAUGGUUUCAAUGCCUGAGUCUGACUCUACUACAAAAGGUCAUCAGCAAUGGUAGACUCAUCUGGGCAGACUUUGCUACAGACAGGGAACUGACACCUGUGGUUAUGAGACAUACAAGUUCUGAAAUCCAUUCAUGAACAUAGUCAGUUUGGAUUCUGCUAGGGUUGCAUGCCGCCAAUAGUAAACAGCAUAAAGAGCACUGGCUUUGGAGUCUGCCAGACCUGGCUUUCAGUCCCAGCUCUAUUUUUCACUCAAUGUGUGCCCCAGAACACUUAUCUGCUCUGAGUUUCAGUUUUUUUAGUCAUAAAAUAAUAAUGAUAAAAUAUACCCAUCAGAAUUAUUGUGAAAAUUAACAUAAUAAUAAUAUAAAGUUAUUGGCAUAUAGUAGGCAGUAAAUACAUUUUUGUUCCUUUCUCUUCUCCCCAACUAAAAAAUGAUGGAUUUUCUGUGAGCUUUUAAAACACAUGAAAGGAAUAGUUUCUAUCUUCCUUGCUAGCCAGAAUGAAAUAAAAACAUAAAUCAUUUAAAUUCAUACCUUCCAGGUAAUCAUAUAUGAAUAUAUAAUAACCUUCUCAGGUGGCCUAAUUUAAGAACCUUUACCUAUUUUUUUUUUCCUUUUUCACCUGAAAGUAAUCUGAUUAACUCAGCGCAUGCUUCAUUUCCUGGAAUAGAAAUUGCAAUAAUCUUCUCCUUAAUUUCAAUAAUUGAUUAACAUGACAAAAACAUGUCACCUAUAGUCAGACUCUAGCACCCACAAUAUUCUCUAGAACUGAUGUUUUGAUGUUGCCAAAUGCUGCCUGAAAGAAAAGCAUCUGAUUUCCAGGUUAACUCUAGAUGUUCCCCUGGGCAAAUUCCACAGGUUACACAGAAACACUAAGAGAAGGGGUUUCAUACCUGGCUGCCUAUGAUCUUCCUUUUAAAAAGCAAAUACAGUGUUUUCAAAAUCUACAGGUGAUCUUCCAUGAGAAAGUUUUGCUGUUUCCUCAAACUCCAUGAAGAUUCCUCUCAUAAACUGGUGCCCCUUCCCAGUUAUCCUAUUUCUGUCCAUAAGCACAUGUUCUUAGAAUCUCAGAAACAAGAAACUGAAAGAGAUUUCCAUUAAAGCCAUCUGAUCUAGUACUAAAAACAAAAAAUGCAUUAAUCAUCCCACUGAACCCCUGAUGGCCUGCUACUGACUAAACACAACCAGUAGAGGGGAGCCGACUACAUCCCUGCUGCAUUGUUCCCAUUGUUGGUCAAGUCCUUCUAUACAUCUGGGUGGGAUGUUUCUUGUUCCAUCCUUCCCACUUUCAUUAAUCCCAGCUCUGCAUUCUAGAGCAAUAGGGGACAGACAAAUCUCACCCUUCUUCCUCACUAAAGGCCCCACAACACGGAAGGCACCCAUUAUGUGUGUACACAGGUUUUACGCUCUGAAUCAAACAUUCAAUCCAAAAAACAUCUGAGGAUCAACUGUGUGCCUCACACUGUUUUAGGUGCUAAGACAGGACAUGUAAAUAACAUACAGCAUCUAUAUGCAAAAAGCUCACAACAGUCCCUUAGAAUUUCUGGAUAUGACCUGGCUUCUAGACCAACCACCCUCUCCCUCUUCCAGAUACACUUUGGCCUAGUGAUGCUUCUUUUAAAAUGUGAUUCUCAGAAUAUGGGAGAAAAACUGGAUGGAUGAGUCUGUGGAUUAUUUCCUAGUCUGAUAUUGUACUACAGUUGUGCAAGAUGUUAACAGUGGGGGAUGCUGGAUGAAGGGCACACAGGACUUCCAUGUAUGUUUCUUUGCAACUUCCUAUGAAGGUAUAAUUAUUUCAAAAUAAUUUUUUUCUAAUGGAUGGAGAUGCCACUAACACAAGCUACUGACAGGACAAUUCAAAACCUAAUAAAAGGCCCAAACUAGGAUAGGUCCACCUACUCAAAUACUUCUUGAAAUAACACGGAGGCAAACAGACAGCAAGAACUGUCAGAUAAAAGUCCACACUCUGUCUCUCCCUAGGAGGCAGAGUAUCUUCCAUAAGCACUUGCUUAUAGAAGAUGCUCCAUGAUCUGAAUCUGCAGGGCCUUCUCCUCAUUCGUAUUCUGGAAUGUCUGGAUGGGCAGAGCCUAUUGCCUGUGCUCCCUCUCACCUGGAGGGGCUGCAUGGGGUGGGGAGUUAUAAACCAUUAGGCUUUGGAGUCCAACACACCUGGCUUUAAAAUGUAGGCCCACCACUCACUAGCUGUGAUAACCUGGGGACCUUACUUGCUCUUUUCAAGCCUCGCAAAACAAAGAUGGUGAUGAGCGCUAUUAUCUCACAUAGUUUUGUAAAAGGAGACAAUAAAAUAAUUUAUAUAAAGCACAUGGUAUAGUUCCAGCAUCCACAAAUAACUCAAUAAAUAUUUGUUGUUUUAGAGCCUCACUCAUGGAUAAGUUCUAGGUUUCCAGGAUUUACUAACCCCCACCUCUUUUUUUUUCUUUUCUUUUUUUUUUUUUUUUUUUUGAGACAGAGUCGCUCUAUUGCCCAGGCUGGAGUGCAGAGGUGCAAUCUCAGCUCACUGCAACCUCUGCCUCCCAGGCGCAAGCGAUUCUCCUGCCUCAGCCUCCUGAGUAGCUAGGAUUACAGGCAUGCACCACCAUACUGGCUAAUUUUUGUAUUUUUAGUAGAGAUGGGGUUUCACCAUGUUGACCAGACUGGUCUCAAACUCCUGGCCUCAAGUGAUCUGCCUGCCUCGGCCUCCCAAAGUGCUGGGAUUACAGGCGUGAGACACUGAGCCUGGCCCUUACUCCCUUUUUAACAUCCGAUAGAACAUCUGCCCUUUCCCCACCUUCUAGUACCUCUCUAGCCUGCCAGGAUGUCUCAAAUUUCCAGUCCAGUGCUUCUCCUCGAGCCAUUUGCAGUGAAGGCUCAGUUUGAUUUUUUUUUCUGCUUUUAUUCUAAUCUGUUAUAGACUAGUACUUUAGUAAACUAUAAUGAAAAUGAAUUACCAGCAAAGUACAAUUUUAAAAACAAAAGUUCCAAUUUUUUAAUUUUUAGAUUCAACAGACAUAAAAUUACUCUGGCAAAUUGCUAUAAAGUUUCUAAAUGCUUCCUUUCUAUUUCUGUGCUCCUCAUUACUGACUGACAACAAAUGGUUGGCAGAGCAGUUCCAUGGACCACACUUUAGGGAGCACUUCUCCAUUACCUCCCUUCUCCAAGCCUGUAGGAACCUUACUUUCAGUGAAACACAACUGAGGGCUUAAGAUCUCUGUGUUUUGGAUAUUGGUUUUAAUUGCCAAGGAGGAUUGUAUGCUCUCUGAGUGCCAGGGUCAUGCCCACUGUGCUCAGAACCAGAUGCCUCAUGAGGGCCCAAUUCCUGCUGAUAAUCUAAGCACUCAAACAGGCAUAUUAUUUACUUUUACCUUUCCAUGAUUUCACCUUGAUGGUGCACCCUUGAAAACCUGCCUAAAGAGAACACUUUGUCCCUUCAACAUCCCUCCCUGUUUGCCUGCAUUCCAUCUAUUUCUGUGUGUGUCUUUUUUACCACCUGCUUCAUCUCCAUUUAACUGAAACGUACCAGAUAUAGUCACAGUUUCUUCCACAGAGGGAGAAGACAGGACAAAUCUCAGAAAAUCCCAUUCAUCAGAAAAGCUGGCUUCUGGCUCACCAGAUAAACAUUUAAGGAAAUGGAGUGGUUACAUUAAUUUACUUCCUGGGGAUACUGUUAGCCUCAUCUCUGUGUCUCUCUAAUGCUGGGCACAUACUAGCUGCUCAGUAGACGUUUAUGUGAAGUGGGCACAGAGUAGCAGCUGCUGCAGUGACUGCAAGUCACACCUUUGGUCAUGUCACUCAGAAGAAGAGGGGCAGUGAGUGGCACUGCCACAGGAAGAAGCCUCAGAUGUCACUGAGACCAGUGGCUGUCUACCCUGACAGAACAAUGAAAUCACUCAGGGAACUCUGAUACAAUACUCACUCCUACAUCUCAGACCCAGAGACUUUUUAAUGUCAUUGAUCUGGGGUGAAGCUUGGGCAUCAGCGUUUUUCAGGUUCCAUAGGCAAUUCCAACGUGUGGCUAGGGUGAAAACUCACUGAUUUAGAACACUCUCCCAUCCACACAGGUACGUAGCAGAGUUCCUUAAAUGUUUGUUGAGUAGAUGAAUGAGGGAGUCACUGGAUCAGUAGAUCGAUAAAGGGAGGAGGAUAGGUCUGGAGCAAAUGCGAACAUGGCCUUAACCCUGUCUCCUCAGAUCCCUCACCUCCAGCUGCUGGGCAUCUUUUCCCAAGGUCCAGCCUUAAGCUCUAGCCAGGAAGCAUCCUCUUGCCCAUAAGAGAAGGGCUUGCUCCUCCCCUCAAACACUGGUCCCUAGGAAAGCACUGACUUAGUCCACCCUCACCUUUUUCAAGCAGGAAACUCCUGGGCUUUCUUGAACACACACCCAGAAGGCUCCACAAAUACCACUGGCCUCAACUUCUACAGAGUAAGAACACUCUAUCUCAUCUAUUUCAUGUUUAUUUAAUGGCUGCUUGGAUUGUUUUCCUGGAAGCCUUCAGUCCAGGGUGCCAUCUCAAACUACAGACUUCCAGACGACAGAGGCCCAAGAACACUGUAAAAAGUGACUCGUUUAUGAAAGUCUAGUAAAUGGAUGCUGCUGUGGUAAUGCUGCAGAGAGACAAGAGGGAAGGGGAGGAUGAGAAAUGGCAACCAGAAGGAGGAAGAGGAGGAGGAUGAGGAAGAGGAAGAGGAUGAGGAAGAGGAGGAGGAUGAGGAAGAGGAGGAGGAUGAGGAAGAGGAGGAGAAGGAAGACGAGGAAGAGGAGGAGGAUGAGGAAUAGGAGGAGGAGGAUGAUGAGGAAGAGGAGGAGGACGAGGAAGAGGAGAAGGAGGACAAUGAGGAAGAGGAGGAGGACGAGGAUGAUGGUGACAAUGACAAGGAAGUGGUGUGCAUACCUGGAAGGGGAGAUGCUAGCUGCCCACUGUGGGCAGGCACAGAUGCACAGAUGACACAGAAGAUCAGGCAGUACCCACUACCCCUUCCUAAGGAGCAGGGAAAAAUUUAGCUAAGCUCAGACUUCUCUGCUGGGAAUGCGUGCCUGGGGCUGCCCCAGGUUCUGAUCUCUGGCUGCUCUUUAGUUGCUGAUGCUGCUAUUUUUAGCUGAACAGUGGCCCCUUCCCAGCCUCCUCUCCAACCUCUAGUUCCAGGAUCUCAGAGGAGCAGCUGGACUUGUCAUUCUCCCUCUGGAUCCUGGACUUCCUACUCCAUGAAGCUACAACUGAGUCAAUUUGGGAUGCUAUUUGGGAAUGUUUGGAAGGAGAUGAACAUAGGGUAGCUAGGGAGUCAGUUGUGAAAUCCAACACUUAUUUUUCAGGCCAGAAAAAGAAAAAAGGUACAUAUGUUAGGUCCAAGGAGAACACUCCCUCUGGCCCCAAAAGAGACACUCCUUAGAUCCCCCCCUUACUGCCCAUCUAAUAGCUUCCAAUUGUUCAGAUUAUCCUGUUCUAAAAUGAAAACUGGCUUUUUUAAAAUUUAUUUAUUUAGGAUAUAUGCCCCACUUUCAAACAGAAUUUGACGCCAGUCUUAUUUAUUGAACAAAUAUACAUUAGAGCCUUUUUAGUCUUUAUUGGAAGCUUUUAGGACACCAAAAUUGUUAAAUUUCACUUGGUUUACCUUUGUUUGUCCUGCCUGUCUAUGUAUAGAUGGCAUUCCAUCACUAGCAUUAAUAGGUAUUUUCUGGUAUGUUUCUCUCUCUCCAUUUAAAGGGGAAAAAGAAACACACACUAUUUGGGCACCCUUGUUUCCUAGCACUCUGUGAGGCUCUAUUAGUAGUUUUCUUCAUGCAAUUCUUACAACCCAUGAACUAAGUUAAGGGACCCACCCAGGGCCACACAGCUCGCAAGUUGCAGAGCUGGGAUUCAAAUCCAGGACUUUGUGACUUCAAAGCUCACAGACGUCCAUCUUCCCCAGAAAACAAGCCUCAUACUCCUGUCAUCAAAAAGAGCAAUCUGUUCCCAACCCUAAAGCCCCAUUAGACUGGUACUUCCCAUUGGGCUCAAUAAACCAUGUGGAUUGCCUGAACCACCAGUUUCCAGAAAAUAGAGAGGGAAACACAUCCACCAUCCACAUGACAGUGAGAUAUGAAGAAAUAUGUGCCUUUUCUUGCUAGAUCAGCUUUUUUGGUGGCUGCGGAAAGAAAGGAGGGGAGGCACCCAGCCAAGAGAGGUGAAUUAUGGAUAAUCCCAGAGUCUGCAAUAACAUUUCCCCUUCCCAGAAGCACCUCUUAACUGCAAGAAUUCCAAUAAAAUGAUUCAUUCAUUAAUCAUCCAAUAGAUUUUCACUGAACACCUACUAUGUGCCUAGUACUAGAAACUGUAUUAGGUGCUGAGGGUAGAAAAGUGAAAAAAAAAAGCCAUCACAGUUUCUGUCCUUAUAAAGCUAGUAGCUAUAGGGAAACAAUGCUGGGGUUCAGAGGCAUUUGUGGGGUGAUAGCAUCCCCUGACACACUACCUUAAAUUUAGCACUGAGGCACUUUUGUGGGAGGAGGAGGAGAAGGAGGAGUAAAGGAAACCAAACUCGUUGCUAUGCAACAGUGAUGAUUUAUUCUUAGAGCAGGGAGAGCAGCGGCAUGGUGCAGGGAGUGGGUGGGGGGUGGAGAUGGAAAGAGGGGAGGCUGGAGGAGUACAGAGUGGGAGGAAAAGUGGUAUAAGCAAGCAUCGAGGCUACACACACAGGCCUCUCCCCACGGAGCCGCUCACAAAUGGACACUCCACAGAAUCAUUCUCUCCAGAGCUAGGCAGAAUACUGUAGGGACAGCCCCAGGAACCACUGAAAAACCCUGGUUCUUAGGUCUGAAAUUAACCUUCAGGUACUGUAACCAGGCCUGCAAUGAAUACCAAAAAGGGACAAAAGCUGAACAUAACAAUCUUUACUCCCACCAGGGAAGUAGGACUCACACACAUAGUUGACCAACAAGUAUUUAUUAAGCACCUUCUCCAUGUUCAUUCAACAUUGUGCAGGAUGCUGUGGGGAUAGAGACAGCCCUCAAGCUGAAGGAGCCCAUGUGUUGGCUGGGUACAGAGACAGACACCUGCCUGAAACGCAGGACUGAGUGCUGGACCUGGCUCAGCCACUUACCUGCUUGGGGAAGCCUGUGGCAAGUCGCUCCACAUCUCUGGACCUCAGGCAUCCGCUCUCUAAGUUGAGAGACAUAAACAAAGCUUAGCCCUAUGUCUCUGACACUGUACAUGCCACAGGAUCUCAGUAAGAGCAGAGGUGAGUAUCACCUGGGGUACUUGGGAAGGGCUGCAUGGAGAAGGAGGAAUUGAGAAUGGAGGGGAGAGGGAGAUAAAUGUUUCCUGAGGGCCUAUUAUGUAUUUUUACCUAAUGAUAAAGAAUAGUUUCCCCAUUUUCAGAGUUGAAAAGGCCAAAGCCUCAGAGAGUGACUUGCUCAAAACCACACAGCAGAGCUGGGAUUCAAACCCAGAUCCUCCCAGCCCCAAAGCCUGAGCACUUCCCACUGGCCCACACUGCUUCUCUGAGAUGCUGAGAUUUAAUAGGAAAAAGGGGUGCAAGGAACACUGGUUGAGGCAACACAGGCAGAGAUACUGACAGGCUGAAAAAUAGCCAGGAUUAACAAGGGCAGAUUCCUGGGGCAAAGACAGGCUGUGACUGAAAGGAAGGUGAGAACGCAGAAAGAAUGAGAACCAGGCAGUCACUAACCAACACCCUUCAUUGUGCCAAGUGCUAUGGAAAAGACAAUUUGCAACCAAGGAGAUAAAAUGUGAAAAUUAACAAUUAGUGAAAACCUACAAAAAGUGCCAAAUGAGAUGUACAAAAAUAAAUCAUAGUACAGUUUAAAUGGGGAUUCUGUGGAAGAAGGAGUUUGGAUCUGAGCCUUAAAGGAUUCAGGGGGAGGACAGGUGAGGAGAGGAUGAGAGAGGUAAGGGCAUUUGGAAAAGGAAAAAUCUCACCCACAUGAGAAAAAGCAGAAAAUAUGCUCCAAGGAAGAUCACUUUGCUUAGAAGACAGAGCUGGUGGGAAACAGUAUAAAAAAGUGGGGUUGGGCGAGGCUAGGGAGUUGUGGCUGACAGAGUGAGGAUUCUAAUCUUCGACCAGGGCUAUGAAAACCAUCAGCUGUUCCAGUGAGGAAAGACAUGGUGAAAAGAGGAGUUGAAGUAAAAGAAACCUGCAGGGUUCAGAAAGCCAGGGAAGGAGCUAUUAGGCAUGGGAUGAAGAGAGUCUGAAUUAGGGAUGGCAUUGGAGGUGGCCAGGAAGGACCGGUUCCCUGGGUAUUUCAAGGACAAACAGACAAGUCCUGGUGACUGGGGGGCUGAAGAAGGCGGAAUCAAAGUUAACCCAAGCUUCAAGGCAAGAACAUGAUGGUAUCACAUUCAGAACUAGAGAAGCCCAACAAAAAAUUUGCGGAGAAGGUGGUAAUGAGGUAGAUUAUUUCCAUUCUAUGCAUUUUUAAGAUUCUUCUAAGAUAUCCAAAUGAAAUAAUCAUGAAUCAUAAACUCAAGAAAAGGAAACCUGAGGCUGGGGAAGGGGAGGUGAAGUCACCCAUGACCCAGGGUGAGACCAGCCCUCCCCUACUCCCUGUGCCCCCCCCGGGAGGGCAAGGCUGCUGCUUUGGGAGUUGGAAACUGUAUGCUCUGGUGAAAGAAGUCACAGGGAGAAUGGGAAUGGACUCUCAGGGCCAACACUUAAUUAUUCCCAUCAGUAGAGCAAGUGAAGCUUUCAAACAGGGUGAAGCCACUUCCCUGUCCAGGCAAGAAUUCCUUCUGUGCUCUAGUGAGGGGUCAUCUAGCCUUUGCCAUGGGCAGGGAAUCACAGGAGACCUCACCCAGCAUCUUGCUAUAGAGACAGGGGAUAAGAUUUUGGAUUCAGAGAGACCUGGGUAAGAAUCUCACUUGUUCCAUCUGGGGCACCUUGAACUGAAUUCCAUCCUCAAGAUAAGGUCUGACAGAGACAGAGAAGAGCUCUAUAAAUGCAGCUCAUGGCCCCUAAAAUAUCACUUCUAUUCGCUUGUCAGUGGCAGUUGAAAUUCUACCAUUAGAGAUUUAUUUCUCUAGCUUAAUAUGUUUCUUUUAAACUACACAUUCUCCUGUGAGGCAUAACUUAGUGAGUUGUUACCAGCCGUAAGUACAAGAGUAUGUAUUCAUUUAUCAGAUGCCUGGGGGAGCCAGGGUUUUAAUGCUUUGGAGAGGAGGAGAGGGGCAUUCUGGAGGUGGAAUCAUUGGCCAUAUUUGGGUAGGCUACUGAAGUUAGUCAACGAUUGACCGGACUGGCAAAGGGACCUAGAAAGCAAGUUUCACAGCUUCACUGGGGAUCAGUCCUAAUCAUCAGAUAAAAGAAGUCACAAGAGAGAUAACUCUGCUGGUGGAACUACCAUAUGACAAUAUGGGCCCUUUAGGGUACAAUAUGAAAGAUAGGGGGCAGGACCUCUCCAGAGAGCACGGCAAAGCGCAACAGAAAAGCCACUUCUAUCUCCCGUGAAGGCAGAGUUAGAGAGAUCAAGGUGUACCAGGAGAAAGGAGGUCUGAAACCAGGAAGCCCUUUCAGAUGAUACAAAAUCCCCCCUUGUUGCUCACCUAAGCUUUCAUUCUGCACCAACCCAGUCCUGAAACUGUUAUUUCAAAGAUGACCAUGAUCUCCUCACAUCCAAUCCCCCACAGUUCUAUCUCACUCUCCAAUCCUUGAGUGUAGUGCCCUCUCCUUCCUUGCAACCCUUGACAAGGGAACCCCCAGGUGCUCUGGUUUUUCUACCAUGUAUCUGACCACUCUUGCAUUCCCUCUCACUGUGCCCUAAGGCUCUGCCUCUCUCCUCUCUGUACAAACCCUCCUUGUCCCUAACAAGAGAGGGACUGCUGCCCAGCAGUUCUCAGCAAAGCAGAAAGUAGUGGUUUAGAAGAGUCUAUACUGUGCAGGGCCUAGUACAUAGCUAGUACACAAUAAACUGCAGGAGGAAUAAAGAAAUGAAUGCAUUAAAACACUAAUCCAAGUGUGACUCAAGAGGAUCAUGCCAUAGGAAGCCACAAAAGAUGUAGUAUUUUGUUCUGUUUCUGUGGAAGCUUCACUUACUUAACAUAUACACCCAAACUUUGACACAUGAGCACCCACCCAUUCAGCAUGUUUUCUCUGGAGAACAACUUAAAGAGAGUGUUGUCAACAUCAGAAUCCCUUUGCCUCCUCAUUACUCUGGUCUUUUGCAUCCAAGGAGAUAUGGUUCUCACAAAGGACCAUGUAACCAAGAGAAAAAAGAAAGGAUCUGGGCCCUAUAGAUGGAACCUGAGAGGAGAGCUCUUCUCUACCACAAAAGGACUUUUAUCCCUGGGCUAGCUUCCCCAGCCUCCUGCUGCAAGUCCUCCCAUAUGCUCCCCGGUCCCCACUCUUGCACCAUUUAUCUUUGCAGUGAGCUUUUUCUGUGGCCUCACAUCUGUAUUAUAUGCGCCAUGAUACAUACAUAUGUAAACAAUAUCAGAGAACACCAUCUCAACUUUUGGGCUCCCUCACACUAAUAGCCUUCCUUUUCCCCCCAGCAGAAGUGUCAUGGAGAUGAAUACCAUGGUCUCCUCCAACAAGCUGGGAGCUCUCUGAGGACCAAAGCCAUAGUUAGGAGUUACCCCCUCUGUACUCACCAUGUCCCUUCAGUGGUCCAGGGGAAUACUCUGCCAUACAGGCCCCCUAGUUCAUGCUGAUGACUGAUCUAUGAAGACCAAAAGGCCCGGGAAUUCCACAGAAAGGAGGAGGAGAAUACAUAAGGAAAGGUGGAGGGAGAGAAUAUGGGAGAAGGGAAGAACUUCAGUGAAUCCUCUGGCCUCAGUGGCUUUCUUGUAUCCUGCCUCAGUCACUCUUUUCAUCUUUGACCCUGGCAUUGAUCAUUGAGAUUUGCUCUUUGAUCUGCUUGUCUGUCUCUGCCCAUUGAGUGUGAAGCAUUGCUAUUUGUCAGAUAUUCUGAGCACCAGAACCCAUGCAAGAAAGUUGUCAAGGCAACAGAACCUCUUUGGUAUAAAUACUGGUGGGUGAUACCACUGGUGGAGUAGAGCACAGAGAGCCUCCCCUCCCCCUCUUUUAGUCAGAGCUAACUGACUUCAAAGUUGGGGGAGUGGAAAAGAGUAGGUCUCUCCAAAGACAUGCUAAAUUGAUGUCUAAUGGUGAUCCAGCAGGGAGAGAGGAUUUUGCAGUUCUGAUUAGCUGCUCAACUCCCACUGAGCCCAGAGGUGGCAGUGAGGGGCAAAGAGAAAGCUGCAGGAGGGUGGUGGAAGUGGCACAAAUUGUGGGAGAUGCCUGAAACCACAGUGCUAGGAUGUGGCACCCAGGACAGGCUCUGUGAACCUUGAGAUACCAGCCUGCUGGGGGCCACUGGGGAUCCCUGGGAAUGUCCAGGGCCUUAAGCUCCGACUAGGGCUGUUCUGACCUCCCUUGUUCUCUAUACUUCCUCCCAGAUCCACAAAAACACAUACUUUACAGAAGAUUCUUAGGGUCAAGCAUCCAUAUCCCAAUGCUGUUCAGAGAAAACUGUGCCCUUCACCCCUGCCCUCAGAGGACACUAUUACAUUCAGAUGGCCAUUUCAGCCAUCUCCCUGCAUCCGACCCACACCCAGAGCACCAUUUUUAGCCUUUUCCCUUCUCUAGACCUCAGUAGUCCCAUUUCUAAAAGGAGAGAGAGCUUUCCUCCUCUUCCUCCAGCCUCCAGUAUUUCUGGAAAGGGUAAAAAUAACAUAAAAUUUGCGUGUAAGGACUCCUUGGAGAAACUCUUUUAAGAAGUAGUCAGUUCCAGCAGCCCUGCUAGUCAGGAGGCUUGCAUCCUCAAGUUAGUCCCAGCCCUCACACUUGGAGAGAGAGAGGGAACAGCAAACAAGGACAAGGUGGCAUUCAUUCAUUUCCCCUUUUCAACCACAUCCUUACAUCCUCUGCACAAAUGCUCCAUUGCUCCCAUAAUGAGCUGUCCCUCAUUAGAGCCCCACCCUACACCUUUGCUCACCCCAUUGACACAGCACAUCUCACACUCACUCAUCCUGCCAGGACCAGCAGGCUCACAGCCUUCCCAGCCACACAGCCAACUGGACUCUUCUCCCCACUCUUAUGGACUUGCCACCUGCAACAAUCACUUAACACUUACCUCACUCUGCUUUUUCUCAUUAACCAGUUUUUGGCAGCCCUACAGCAUCUAGAACAGUGUUGUACACGUAAGUAAAUAUUUGUUUUGAGGUUUCAUUUUUUAAAUGCAUUGUUCAGCAAAACCGGCGACUCCAGUGUCCAGGUAACAAGCACGUCCCUCCAGAAUGAGAAUCCAGACUCCCCAUGUCCUCUGCUAUAUUCAUCAGCAUAGCCUCUUCCUCCUCUCCCAAACACACCAUUCCUGCUGUGGCCUCAAACAUUCUUUCCAGGUGCCCAAACUCUCACAGCUGCUCUGCCCCAUCAACCCUGUUCCCUAAUCAUCCGGGUCUGCUCAGGGCCUCGCUCCCCACCUCUGGCAUCACUCCGCCCUGUUUCCAUCACUAGUGCCUCCAUAAUUUCCUGUAGUGCGAAAACAAGAAGUAACUUUAAAGAGCAGUGUCACCAGCUUUGUAACAAACACUCUGGUACAUGCACAUCCAUGACCAUCUUUUCCCAGGUCACACUCUGCACUAGGAAUCUGUGUCCUGGAUUAGGAUUCUAGGAUCUUCUGGCUGCCUCAAACCUCUACCCAAAAUUUCUGGGCCUUUAACAGCCACUAGGUUUCCUGGCAAGAAACUGGUUAUUGUUUCUCCCUGUGAGGAGACCCUAAAGGCCAACAAACUCUACUCUCCUCCCAGAGGUUAAGUAGACAGGCAGGCCCACCUCACUCUACCACCCAGGCUCCCCUAGAGCCAGCCUAUUUGCUACCUGGUAGGCCAGUAUUCAAAUCCUGAUUCCAAUCAAUGGGGGGGGGACCUUGGCAAUUUGGUAAAAUUCAGUCAGCAUGUAAUGAACAAGUGCCUCCUCUCGUUCUAAAGGAUCAGGGGCUCUCAUAGCAAGGUCCCCAGACCAGCAGCAUCAGCAUCACCUGGGAACUUGUGAGAAGUAUAAAUUCUUGGGCCCACUGUAGACCUGCUGAAUCAGAAACGCUGAAGGUAGGGCAAACAACUUGUGUUUUAACAAGUCCUCCAGAUUAUUCUGAUGUGUGCUCAAGUUUGAGUUCCACUGACUUAGGCCCUGGGGAUAUAAAAAAAAAAAUGAAAAACCCAUAAUCUAAACUAUCAGUUCUUAGCCCUGGCUGCAAUUAAAAUAAGCUGGGGAGCUUUUAAAAUAAUACCAGUCUGGGCCCCAUCCCAGACCAAUUUCAUUAGAAUUUCUAGGUGUGGGGAAGUCAUCACAAUGCAAUAUACUGAGUGCAAAGACUGUAACAGGGUAUGCAGGCAAGUGAGAAGGGAUCCUGCAGUAAGGAGAUGAGGACAAGCAGCUGCACCAUCUGUGCCUCCAUUUUCUCAUCUGUAGAAUGGGGAAUGUAACAGUCCCUUGAAGGACUAUUGAGAAUUACAUAAAAUGAUAUAAGGAAAUGCCCAGUAUAUAGCAGAUGCCCAGUGUUCAUCACUUCCCUUCUUUCUCCAGAAUGGGCCCCUGGUUGACUCUGAGUUGAGCAGCUGGGCUGCUGUGUUUAGAAUGUCCCCUACACUGGUCCCUCAUCAAGGACCCUUCCCCACCAAGAAAGAAAACUUCAUGACUGUUCAUAGUUUGGGGCAAGAGUUCUCUUCAGCAGCCAUCUCCAUAAUCCCAGCAUCUUGAUUCGCUGUCCUUAAAAACAGGCUGGGUCCCUUGGAACCAGACUUUCCCUAUAAGACAGCUCACAGUGCAGACCCCAGACCUCUAACACCCCCACACCCUUUCAAAGAACACCUAUUUUUUAAAUUUUAUUUUCCAUAAGUUAUCGGGGUACAGGUGGUAUUUGGUUACAUGUGUAAGUUCUUUAGUGGUGAUUUGUGAGAUCCUGGUGCACCCAUCACCCAAGCAGUACACCCUGCACCAUAUCUAUAAUCUUUUAUCCCUUGCCCCCCUCCCACUCUUCCCCACAAGCCUCCAAAGUCCACUGUAUCAUUCUUAUGCCUUUGUGUCCUCAUAGCUUAGCUCCCACAUAUCAGUGAGAACACACGAUGCUUGGUUUUCCACUCCUGAGUUACUUCACUUAGAAUAAUAGUCUCCAAUCUCAUCCAGGUCAUUGCAAAUGCUGUUAAUUCAUUCCUUUUUAGGGCUGAGUAGUAUUCCAUCAUAUGUAUAUACCACAUUUUCUUUAUCCACUCAUUGAUUGAUGGGCAUUUGGGUUGGUUCCACAAUUUUGCAAUUGUGAACUGUGCUGCUAUAACCAUGCGUGUGCAAGUAUCUUUUUCAAGUAAUGACUUCUUUUCCUCUGGGUAGAUACCCAGUAGUGGCAUUGCUGGAUCAAAUGGUGGUUCCACUUUUAGUUCCUUAAGGAAUCUCCACACUAUUUUCCACAGUGGCUGUACUAGUUUACAUUCACACCAGCAGUGUAGAAGUGUUCCCUGAUCACCGCAUCCACGCCAAUGUCUACUGUUUUUUUGUUUUCUUAUUAUGGCCAUUCUUGCAGGAGUAAGGUGGUAUUGCACUAUGGUUUUGAUUUGCAUUUCCCUGAUCAUUAGUGAUGUUGAGCAUUUUUUCAUAUGUUUGUCGGCCAUUUGUGUAUCUUCUUUUGAGAAUCGUCUAUUCAUGUCCUUAACCCACUUUUUGAUGUAAUUGUUUGUUUUUUUCUUACUGAUUUGUCUGAGUCCGUUGUAGAUUCUGGAUAUUAGUCCUUUGUCAAAUGUAUAAAUUGUGAAGAUUUUCUCCCACUCAGUGGGUUGUCUGUUUACUCUGCUGACUGUUCCUUUUGCCAUGCAAAAGCUCUUUAGUUUAAUUAGGUCCCAGAUAUUUAUCUUUGUUUUUAUUGCAUUUGCUUUUGGGUUUUCGGCUAUGAAAUCCUUGCCUAAGCCAAUGUCUAGAAGGGUUUUUCAAAUGCUGUCUUCUAGAAUUUUUAUAGUUUCAGGUCUUAAGUCUUUAAUCCACCUUGAGUUGAUUUUUGUAUAAGGUGAGAGAUGAGGAUCCAGUUUCAUUCUUCUACAUGUGGGUAGUCAAUUAUACCAGCACCAUUUGUUGAAAAGGGUGUCCUUUCCCUACUUUAUGUUUUUGUUUGCUUUGUCAAAGAUCAGUUGGUUGUAAGUAUUUGGGUUUAUUUCUGGGUUCUCUAUUCUGUUCCAUUGGUCUAUGUGCCUAUUUUUAUGCCAGUAUCACGCUGUUUUGGUGACUAUAGCCUUAUAGUAUAGUUUGAAAUCAGGUAGUGUGAUACCUCCAGAUUUAAUCUUUUUGCUUAGUCUUGCUUUGGCUCCAUGGGCUCUCUUUUUGGUUCCAAAUGAAUUUUAGAAUUGAUUUUUCUAACUGUGUGAGGAACGAUGGUGGUAUUUUGAUGGGGAUUGCAUUGAAUUUGUAGCUUGCUUUUGGCAGUAUGGUCAUUUUCACAAUAUUGAUUCUACCCAUCCAUGAGCAUGGGAUGUGUUUCCAUUUGUUUGUGUCAUCUAUGAUUUCUUUCAGCAGUCAAAGAACACCUCUUUAAAGCAACUUGAUAAAGGCCAUUUUAGUUAUACUAGGAACAUGUUGUCCUAUUCCGGCUGCCCUGAAACUCUUUUUGCCUGUGGUUCCAGGCAAGCAGACAGGCUCAGGAUGAGAUCUCUGGACUCAGGUAGCCCUCCCUGAUGCAGGAUUUGUCAGUAUCCAAACUCCUUCUCCAGGAACAUGUGAACGAUAGGGGACUUGGCAAUAGCCCCAGAUUCCUCUAGCGCCUCCCUCCCCAUAAGGCACAGGAGUGGGUCUGCAAUCACAGGCAGUGCCCUGGGUGGGCCCUCCACAAUGCCACAGAUCCUGACCUGUGGCCUCCUGAAUUGAAGACAGAAAUGAGGGCUGUCCUUGUUAGCUACCUCCGGGGCUCUGUGCUUAUUCUAGCAGACACUAAACAUUUUUGAACUUCUGAAAACAGCCUCGACUGUCGUUCUAAAUUUAAAAACAAGCAAACUGUUUCAUUACUUAAUAGACAAACCUUGUGUUGUGUUUUUUUGAGGUGGGGGAGAGAGGAAGGUUGUUGUUUUGUUUUUUAAACUAAAAUACUGUCACCCAGCUUGCCCAGAUUUGAUUCCCUCUUCCCCAGAUUUUCCCGAAUGGAGUUGGGCUGUUUCCAAAAACCAAAUUAGUAUUCAAAAACAGUUCUGAAGUUUUAAUCACCACUAAGGAUAUAUUUUUUUUAAUUUUUAAAUUUAAAAAAUAAAAAGUAACCCCGCACCAUCAGAUCAAUUGGCUGUUCCCAGAAUGCAGAUCCACAGUUGGAACACAGGCAGCAUCCCUGGCAUGAGCUGCCUCAAGGCCGUGCUGUGAGGAGAGUAACCCUCAUCUGGAAGUGGUCAGUGAGGCAGUCAGUCAUGCUAUCACCUACUAAGUGCCUCAGAAACCAAAUUCCAGAGGACAGAGAGGAAGAUGGAUUUGACUUCAGAGAAAACAGUGUAAAUGCCCCAGCAGGAGGAACCAGAACAACUCCCAAAGAGACAGGGGCUGCCAGGGGAGAAUUUGUGUCUUCAGAGGUUAAGGUCUGGUCUAGUUCCCUGCCUCUGACCCACAAAGCUCUCAUGAAAGAACUUGGAAUGUGAGACGGGGCAAAAAUCCCUGCCAAAACAGCCAUGAAGGAGCCAGAAAAAUGAAGGUGCCACAAAGCUUUUCCCCAAUUCUCUGAGUUACAAGGCCCUGGUUCCUUCCCAGACACAACAAAGUCACCUUCUCCUGGCCUCAUCAUCCUCCUCUUCCUUCCCCAAGUCCUGCCGUGUGUAAAAGAAGAUCUCUGCCCAGGCUGACCAGAGGAGAGUAAGGUAUUUUCUUCCUGGCUUUGCACAUUCAUUCAGCCUUGAAAAGCUCAGGCCAGGAAAGAAGUCCAGGAGUAUGUGUUGUGCGGUGCUGCAGUGCUCACUUCCCAGUGAUGGAGGCUCCCUCUCACUAAGUUUCUUCUCCUCCCAUCAGUGUUCUCACCGGCUCGGGUUCUAGGCUCUGGGCACUUGAAGUGAUGAUUGAGCUUCCCUCACAAACCUUAGGAAAAUGUGGCCCCAAACUAAGCAUUACUAAUGCACAGCUUUGCUCAUCAAGACAUGUCCACCUGGGGCUCCAACAGGGUAGAGGAGGCUGGAGGGAUAGGAAAGUGGUUGUGUAAUUCAGGCAGCACCCAGUCAUCAGCACUAAUGAUGGAAAGAGAUACUGGGUUGUUGAAAUGAUGGAUAAUCAAUAUUCCAGAAUAAUGGAUAUUGUUUGUUAGGAGACAACAUGAUUCUUGGCAGCUGAGUUGUCUUCUUAAAGAUCUACUUGUAAAAAACAGCCACAUGAAAAGAAGACUGUUCCAGAUUUAAAACUGACCAUAUAAUACACAUACGGAAAAAAAGUGAGAACUGGCUAUGUGGGGAAGACAUGGAGGAAGUUAGAGCUCAGAGGGACUUAUGACAUCAUUUCCCCCAUUUUACAGAGGAGGAACUAAGGUCCAGGGAAGCGAACAGAUUGCCUUGUGUCACAUAAUUAUUUGGUGGAAAAGCCAGAAAUGGGCCUGGGUUGUCUAAACAGGGCACUGUUCACUUGGCCACAGUAGUCCAAGGGCUUCACCUGGAAAAGAACCAUCAUUCUAAGCAUGUGAUGCUGACCUCCCGGCAGUGGCUGCUUCUGUAAUCACCACAAUUUCCCAACACACAAGUCACCUCAUGUGUUCCUACACCCUGAUGUCACAGCUGCCACUGAGAGCCCUGAGCCAAGUACCAUGAUGAUUCAUAAAUCACUGCCCAAUUCUUUAAAGUCACAGCAUUGUCUUUGUCAACAGCACCUUAUGUGAUUCUAAUCAGUAGCUGCCAUCAAUUUCAUCAAGUUCAAGUACAAUCUUACUUCUUAGUAUUUGGGUGGCCCUUUUAAUGUUUUUCAAAAACUCCUUGAUAGCUUAUACCUCACUUUAUGUUCACCAGACCCCAUGGGUCAAAGGUAGAGGAGUGACUGGAAGGUCUAUUUCAUAUACUCCUUGAAGAACUGACCUGUAAGUAAACACAGUUGGUAACUGGGGCUGAGAGACUAUAGCAGAGGACUCCUGAGUCACAGACUCCAGUUCUUUCCAGAGCAAGUUGGAAGCAGGAAAAAUAUGCUAAAAUUCACAAGAAGUUUCAGGGGCAAGAACCUUAAGAAUAUUAUCUGUUAACCUUCAGACAUAUAGAAGACACUGGGGUCUGUGGCAAAUUACUCAGCAUCACACUUCAGCAAUCUCUCUUCCUUUUCUUUGCUUUUUCAUUAAAGCAUAACUUGCACAAAGUAUACAAAUCAUAAGGGUACAGCUGGGUGAAUUUCUGCAUAUGUUAUACACUAAUAUAAUCACCAGACCAAGAUUUAGAACAUUUACAGCUACCCAGAAGGCUCCCUCAUGCCCCCUUCCAGUCAAGAAUAGCUAUUAUUCUGACCUCUGUCCCACACAUUAGGUUUGUUUGGUCAUAUAAGUGGGAGAAUACAAUAUGUAUUCUCUUAUGUCUGGCUUCCUUUCGCAAUCUUCUAAGAUGCUUCUAUACUAUUAGAGUGCCAAUAGUGCGCUCUUUAUCUUUUCUGUAUAACAUUCUGUGGCGUUGAUAUACAAUGUAUUUAUCCAUUCUACUGUUGUUGGAAACAACAUUUUGGUUGUUUCCAGUUUGAGGCUGUUAUGAAUAAAGCUGAUAUGAACAUUCUUGUACAUGCUUUUGUUUUUGUUUUUAGAUGGAGUUCAAAUCUAUUGGGUAUAUCCAGGUGUAGAAUUAUGGGUUCAUGGGGUGUGCAUAAUAGAUAUCAUGAAAAUUCUCUUUAAAGUGCUGUAUAAAUAUACACUCCCACCAGCAAAGUAAGUUCCAGGAACUCCAUAGUCUCAACAAAACUUGAUAUUAUUGGUAAAUAGUCAUUUUUAAAGUAUCACUGGAAAAGACGGUACCCCAUGUAUGUUUCCAGAUAACUGAUGUUAGUCUUUAAGCAGUUUUUAAAAAAAAUCUAAUAAUUUUACUUCUUGAAAAUAGUAAACUACCUAACCAUUGCAGACUACACUGAGAAGUUCAGAGAGCUCUGAAUAUACAUUUAACAUAUUCAGAGAUAUACUAAAUAUCUAAGGAUUUCACUCUCUCCUCCUUCAUGGGUAGAUAUCACUAAGGUAUCAGCAGCCCAGAGCACCUCCCUCUAAUCUCUGUCCUGGAAAAUAUUAAAGACGGCCCAAUCAGGAACUUUAAUUUAUACACUACCAUAGGUCAAUAAGUUCUGGUCACAUGGGCUUUCCACUAGAAAGGCUAUUUCUAUGUCCUGAAUGGUAAAAGUUGUCCCCAAAAUAGGUAAGUGAGUUGUUAUUCAUUUCACUUGCUUUUAUGUGGCUUGGCAAAUGUUAAUCAGUUAUCAAACAAUACACAUUUAUAAAGCACAUAUUCUGUUACCGAGCUAGACAUUCUGGAAGUUCCUUGAAGGGGCAGGGCUCCAGAACACAUCACAUGGAAUGUUGUCAUCUGCCUUCUUUUUCUCACUUUACCCAUCCAACCCCUUUCACAGAUGAAAUGAGGUUAAAACAAACUUCACUGAUGACCUUGGCUUUAGAGGGGAAAGCAAGGCCCAAAAGAGGUUUCCUGGGGAAUGAAAACAGAAGAAGGGAGAACAGCCCUGCCCAUAGGGCCAUGGUGAUAGAGUGAAUGGGUGAUUGAAGGCGACGUGAUUAUUACAACCUCUGGUCUUCUUUACAACAGAAGACCAAGCUCUAUCUUAUCCUUUAUCCAACCUCCACCCAUCAUGAACUUCCUUCUCCCUUGCCUCUUGGUGCCAUUGUCCAGGAGAUUGAAGUAGAGCAUCACAUCCCACACCUAACCACCAAGUGCAGUGCCUAAGACAAGACAUAUUCCCUGACCUUACAAAACAUACCACCCUUAAAGAGUAUGUCUCUAGUUGGGUGGGUAAAGUGAGAAGGGGCUCUGUUCUAAAUGCAGGGUGCAAACUGGAGUAUGAGUCACUAUGGACAGGCAUUGAGCUGAUCCUUAAAGCAGACAGGACUUAAGGCAGAGCAGUGAAGCAGACGUAGAGAGUGCUCUGCCCUCUAGCAGAGCAAAAGACAACAGUAGGAAGAACAUGGGACCCUUGGGAUCUGUGAAUAGACAGCACAAGCCUAUCUAAGUGGCUUUCCAUGCCACCAUGAUGCUGGGGCACCGUUCUGCUAAUGCUCCUGAGUAUGACGGACCUUCCUCAAACAAAAGCUGCCUGAGCACAAUGACUGUGACUUUUAGGAAUUUUCUUAGGAACACCCAAAUAUGAGCAUGCUGAAUACGGCUGUACGCAGUUUUACUCGUAAGCCUCUAUGCCCUCAAUUUCACAAUUCAUAGUUUCUGCUUGGCUCUCUAGAUGUCAAAUGCAAAUGUCUGAGAACAACUCCAUGAUUUUCUGGGAUGGAAAGCUGCUUCUAUCCCUGUGCAGAGAUAUAACCAAGCCAACAGGGCAGCUAACACAGAGGAGGGGACAGGGAACAAGCACACAAUGUUUAGACCAAUGAGAUGACUCUGGACCACAGAACUCUUCAGGACCAGUUGAAAAGGACACAGUGAGCAUCUGAGAAGGAGGCAAGUAGGAAGACCUCGGCACCAUACCACAGUCACCUGCAUGAAGUUCUUGGAUUACAAUGCUCCCCUACAGAAGGCUCACUUCUUCUCCAAAUAGCUUUUGGGGCCUAAAUCAAGGUUUUUCAUGGCUCUGUAGUCUUAUUCCAUCAGAAAAGACCUUCUACUUCUCUACUUCUUGUUACUUGGUUGAAAUUUUCAUUCCAUUUUCCUGCUUCCCUGUAUUGUCAACUCAGAGGGAACAUUUGCCCUCUGGAUGGGGCAGAAGUAUAACUAACACCUUUGAAUUGCCAACAAGUGAAAUGGCAUUGAGCUAAGACUUCCAUUCUCAGCCCAAAAGUUUAUUUGACCUCAGGCUUCUGUGUUUGCUAUCUCAAUAGUCUCUACGGAAAAUCCAUCUUUUUCAGGUCCAAAUAUCUUUUAAUAUACAAAAAGUAGCAAGUGGAGAGAGGGGUGAGGAAUGGCCACCAGACAAACAAGCAUAACACUGGUUGAAAGCAUCAAUGUCUCAAUAUCCCAGUCUUCUGGUUUUCUUUGUUCAUAAACUGAUCUUAUUCCACUGAUAAAUGUGACUAUAGUAAUAAUUAAUAACUUGAGAAAAGUUAGUGUGACACAUCAGUAAGUGCUUCUUGAGGGUGGGGAGUUGGCCUUAGUCAUUGCUAGCACCUACCAUACACCUGCCACAAAUAAAAGUACUUAAUAAAUAUUGAGGGAAUACAUGAUUGAAGAAAGGCAAAAACUGAGUAACUUAAAACAUAUUCUACAUGUCAAGGACAUAAAUUCUUAAGGGACACAAAAUAAUGAAGAGAUUUCACCUCUAAAACUGUGGAAUAAGCAUAAAAAAGUAAAUGAAGCAUAAGAGAAAGAAAAAAAAUAAGGAGACAUGGAUCAACCAAAAAGUAUAACACACUGGCAAAAAGACUGUGUGAUAGUAAUAACUGCUGUCUCAAUUAGCUGAAGGACUUCAAGUAGAAAUGAAAUUGUAUAGCUUUGCAUUACUCUAGAGGGUUGAACUAAGGUCAACAAGCCUAAAUUAGACAAAGUCAGAUUUCAAUUACAUAAAAUAAUUUACUAACAAUUAGAUCUGACCAACAAUAAAAUUAGCUGUCUCAUGGAAUCAUGAGCACUUUGUCACUGAAGAUAAGAAUCACCAUCACUCAGAGAUCAUCUAGAGGCAAUUUCUGCCUCAAGUGGAAAGUUAGACUAAAUGGACUCUAAGAUCUCAUUCAUAACUAAGUUUCUACUAAUCUAAAACUCUGUGGUCAAAAGUGGGUAAUAUCAAGCAAAGCAGACUUCCUGAAAGAGGGAAGUUUGGGGUCAGAUUGAGAAGGGGGUAACAGAGAAUGGUAAAUUAGUCUAGUUUAGAAACACAGGUACAUAUUGGAGUGUAGGGUCCAGAAACCUCAGUAAGGGGAGGAGGAUUAGAAAAUAAUCACUCUGACAGUAUAAUUGGUCUCAGGGACACUUUAAGGUCCAGAGAUAUUAUUCUCAGAAACAUCUAUUUAGAAUAAAUUGGAGCCUUCCUAAACUGGUAGGUAAUCCUAACCUGAAUCAAAUUUAAAUGGGAAAAUCUUAUCAGAUAUUUGACAGGUUGAGGCAAUAUGGAGAAGCAAUAGAGUCGCAAAUUAAAGGAAGACAAUAACAAGGCAAGUCUCACCCACAAAUCUGCAACCAAUUUGAAAUUUAUGAAGGGUGAUCUCUGAGCUGCCUUGCCACAAAAGUACCCAUCCUGGCAGCUUGGGGCUCCUGUCAUUAUCGAACCAGGGGUCAUUAUUUUAUGAAUCCCAUAUUGUAGUUGAGCCAGAUAGACAACAGCACCUUCUUUCAUUUCACUUGGAUAAUGGCCAGAUACAAGUCACUUUACUAUGACUUAGAGUAUUGUGCCCAUCUGUUCACAAUUGAUGGGAAUAAUUGAGGGGUGGAAUGUGCCAGGCACUCUUGGACAAGCUACAGAAGUGGGCUAGGGGCUUUCUUGGCCAUUUGCCAUGUGACAAUGAUUCCCUCAUCUGUGAACAUAUGGAGUAGAUGAAACUGUCACUUGGAGAGCAUGGUACAGCAGAGCUUGGACCAUUUCAUUUUCACAAGAAACUGUACAUGAGUUAUAGCAAGGAAAUAGCUUUUACAUCUUGAUUACAUCAUGAGAAAUUCUUCCAAACUUGUGACUGUGUAAAUUCUCUUAGGAGAAUCUGGCCUUGUGCCCCAAAUCAGAAAGAAGUUAUAAUUGGAUGUCAUCUAUGUCCACCAUCUUGGAUUUAAAACAUGGAGGCAAAUCACCCCAAAGGAGAAGAGUGGCCAGGGGAUGUCCUGAGACCACACACAAACCUCCGUUUUCCACCUCUCAAGAUGCAGGAGUGGUGGGGAGCAGGAAGAAGCCUCAAAUAUUUGCUCAGACUUUGCAAAAAUUUCAAUGAUUGAAAGAAAGAAAUCUGACCAACAGUCGCUGAGAAAACAGUUGAGGUAAUAUUGGGUUACAGGUAUUUCUUAACAUAAUAUUGAGGAAAAAAAUAAAGGAAUCCUACUGAAAAAUCCUUCUGAUUGAUAUAUAUCUUUUCAAGUUUGGAAAAUUUCACUCAUGAUUAAUUUUUUUUUAAUAGAGAAAAAAAAACAGAAUCAUUAAGUUGAGGACUGGUAAAAGCAAGGAAAUCUCUCCCAAUUCUUGGCCAGACAUUCACAAAACCAUGAUUCUCUCCUAUUCAACAUUUUGUAUUUCAAGGCAAACGAUGAAGGCAAAACAGAUGUUCCUAAAAGGCAACCUAGAGUCAGAAGAGAAUGUUAGUAGGUAAGCUGUCGAGAUUUGGGGGUAUGAGGUGGUAGAGUCACCUCCUUUUCCUCCAAACCUGCCUCAGAGUCAGGACGCAAACCAAGACGCAGCCUCUAACUCAUGGAACCACUCCUGCUCAAAGCAGAAACACCUAAUCAGGACAGCCCACUCCUAAUUAAGCAGAGCAUCUGAUGGCCUAACUCUGAAUCAUCCAGGCUCUUAACAACACCUCUUUACUCCUCCUAAGUAUUUCCCUGCCACUCACAGGGGAAUCAAAGGCAAGGAGUAGAAGAAAUUGACUCCAAGUCAUUUUACUUUUUGUGGGCCACUGUGUUGAAAGCAUUUCUAGGAAGGGGGAUUAUACUGUAAGUUAAAAUGAGGUGUUUGUGUUUCCUCUGGACCUCCCUUAGACUCCCUCAAAUGUCCAGGAAUAAGGAAGAGUGGGCCUGGAAGACAGUGACUGCCUGCACUGCCAGGCACGGCACCAGAGCCCUCCACCCACCACAUCACAGCUUCCUCUCAUCUGUGUGACAGCUCAAGGUCACCAGCUCAUGGAGGCUUGCUCAUUCACUACACCAUCUCUGACCUUGGGCUUCCUCCUUCCCUUCAAACUCUCCUGUCAUCAUGAUAAUCAGUAUCUUUGAGUCAUUUCAUGUGUAGUUGUCUGUUCUCAUGAUUAGAAACUAACAUGAAAGAACAGAGCAGGAAACUUGUAAUCCAAGGUCCUAGAUUCAAGGCUUGUUGCUAGGAAGCCAUGGGCAAAUCUCUUCACCUUUUUGAGAUUCAGUUUCCUCAUCUGUAAAAGGGCAAUGAUAAUCCUUGCUUUACUGAUUCAGAAGGCUAUUGUGGAUUCCAAAUGAGAUAACCCAUGUGAAACCCUUUUGUAAAUUGUAAAUCAUCCUAUUUCUGUUGCUGGUACAGAGGCCAUGUCUCUUCCUUAUACUCCAGGUUCUGAACUAGGGUUGUACCCCACUCUGUAGGCUCAGCAAGAUUUGGUUUAAAUGCACUGAAUGCCUUGUCCCUACAACGUUAAACGCAAACCCUCUCCCACGCAUUACCAUAUACAGGUAUACCUCAGAGGUAUUGAGGGUUUGGUUCCAGACCACCACAAUAAAGUGAGUCACAUGAAUUUUUUGUUUUCCGAGUACAUAUAAAGUUAUGUUCACACUAUGUUGUAGUCUAUUAAGUGUGCAAUAGCAUGUCUAAAAAACAAUGUACAUAUUUUAAUUAAAAAUAUUUCACUGCUAAAAAAUGCUAACAGUCAUCUGAAUCUUCAGCAAUUCAUUAUCUUUUUACCGGUGGAGGGUCUUGCCUCAAUGUGGAUGGCUGCCAGAAAUCAGGAUAGUGGUUGCUGAAGGUGGGAGUGCCUGUGGCAAUUUAUUAAAAUAAGACAACAAUGAUAUUUGCCACAUUGAUUGACUCUUCCUUUCAUUAAAGAUUUCUCUACAGCAUGUGAUGCAGUGUGAUAGCAUUUUUCCCACAGUAGAAAUUCUUUCAAAACUGGAGUGAAUCCUCUCAAAACCAGCUGCUGCUUUAUCAACUAAGUUUACAGAAAUCUUUUGUCAUUUCAACAAUGUUCACAGCAUCUUCACCAGAAGUCAAUUCUAUCUCAAGAAACCACUUUCUUUGCUCAUCAUAGGAAGCAGCUCCUCAUCCAUUCAAUUUUCAUCAUGAGAUUGCAAUAAUUCAGUCACAUCUUCAAGCUCUACUUCUAAUUCUAGUUUUCUUGCUAUGUCUUCCACAUCUGUGGUUACUUCUGCCACUGAAGCCUUGAACCCUUUAAAGUCAUCCAUGAGGGCUGGAAUCAACUUCUUCCAAACUCCCAUUAAUGUUGAUAUUUUGACCUCCUCCCACGAACCACAAAUGUUCUUAAGGCAUCUACAAUGAUGAAUCCUUCUCAGGUUUUCAAUUUACUUUACCUAGAUGUAUCAGAGGAAUCACUAUCUAUGGCAGCAAUAGUCUUAUGAAAUGUACUUCUUAAAUAAUAAGACUUGAAAGUCAAAAUCAGUCCUUGAUCCAUAAACUACAGAAAGGAUGUUGUGUUAGCAGGCAUGAAAGCAACAUUUAUCUCCUUGUACAUCUCCAUCAGAGCUCUGGGGUGACCAGGUGUAUUGUCAAUGAGCAAGUAAUAUUUUGAAAGGGAUCUCUUUUUCUGAGCAGUGGGUCUCAUCAGUGGGCUUAAAAUAUUCAGUAAGCCAUGCUGUAAACAGAUGUACUGUCAUCCAGGCUUUCUUGGAUUCGGGAUUUGGGGGAAUGGUAAAUGAGCAUUGGGUUCAACUUAAAGUCACCAGCUACAUUAGCUCCUAACAAGGGAGUCAAGCUGUCCUUUCAAGCCAGACAGUGACUUCUCUUCUCUAGCUUCUUCCAAUAGAAGGCUAUUUCAUCUACAUUGAAAAUCUGUUGUUUGGUGUAGACUUCUACAUCAAUUAUCCUCUAGAUAACUUGCUUCAGUUUUUACAUCAGCACUUGCUGCUUCAUCUUGCAUUUUUAUGUUGUAAAGACUGCUUCUUUCCCUCAGUCUCAUGAACCAACCUCUGCUAGCUUCAAACUUUUCUUCUGCAGCUUCCUCCCCUCUCUCACCUUUCAUAGAAUUGAAGAGAAUUAGUGCUUUGCUGUGGAUUAGGCUUUGGUUUAAAGGAAUGUUGUUGCUGACUUGAUCUUCUAUCCAGAUCGCUAGAACUUUAUAUCAGCAAUAAAGUUGUUUCCCCUUCUUAUCAUGUGUGUGUUCACUGAAAUAGCACCUUUAAUUUCCGUCAAGAAUUUUUCCUUUGCAUUCACAACUUGGCUAACAGUCUAACACAAGGCUUUCUGCCUAUCUUGCCUUUUUUUUUUUGAGAUGGAGUCUUGCUUUGUUGUCCAGGCUGGAGUGCAGUGGCGCAAUCUCGGCUCACUGCAACCUCCGCCUCCCAUGUUCAAGCGAUUCUCCUGCCUCAGCCCUUGAGUACCUGGGAUUACAGGCACGUGCCACCACGCCUGGCUAAUUUUUGUGCUUUUUGUAGAGACUGGGUUUCAUCAUGUUGGUCAGGCUGGUCUCAAACUCCUGAUCUUGUGAUCCACUCACCUCGGCCUCCCAAAGUGCUGGGAUUACAGGCAUGAGCCACUGUGCCCGGCUGCUAUCUUAGCCUUUAACAUGCCUUCCUCACUAAGCUUCAUCAUUUCUAGCUUUUGAUUUACCAUGAGGGAUGUAUGACUCUUCCUUUCACUUGAACACUUAGAGGCCACUGUAGGAUUAUCAAUUGGCCUAAUUUCAAUAUUAUUGCGUCUCAGGGAAUAAAGAGGCCUGAGAAGAGAGGGAGAGAUGAGAAAACAGCUGGUAGGUGGAGCAGUUAGAACACACACAAUUAUUAAGUUUGCAGUUUUAUAUGGGCAUGGUUUGUGGUGCCCCCAAUCAUAAUAGUAACAUCAAAGAUCCCUGAUCACAGAUAACCAUAAUAGAUAUAAUAAUAAUGAAACAGUUUGAAAUAUUGUGAAAAUUACCAAAAUGUGACAUAGAGACACGAAGUGAGCACAUGCUAUUGGAUAAACAGUGUUGAUAGACUUGCUCAAUGCAGGGUUGCUACAAAACUUCAAUUUGCAAAACAUGCAAUAUCUGUGAAGUGCAAUAAAGUAAAGUGCAAUAAAGUGAGGAAUGCCUAUACACUCAGAAGUCAAGCUUUCAUGCAUAUCAUUAUAAAAAUGCCCACCAAGAAGGCUCCUGCAGUCUGGCUUUGUGCACCCCUACAUAUAAGACAGGAGAGCAGAUCAGGACCUCAGAGUGUGCUGAAGGACACAAUCACAGCAGCAGAGUGGAAUUGAGCCUCCACCAGCACUGCAGACUGCACUGGUAUAUCCAGCUCCACUGCCCAGAAAGCAACUAUCUUCCAUGACAGCCAGGAAUUUUUUCUCUUUCUCUUUAGCACCACCACCUGCAGAAUUUCCAUCACAACCACCGCAGCCAAACUCUCUGGCACCACUCAUCUCACCAUUUGGCAAGUGCAAAGCCCAAAAUUCUCUCACUGGGACUUGUUUCUAGAGUCAUAACUAAAAUCUCUGAUUGCCCAACAGAGAGCACCUGGGAGACCAAAAGGAGAAGAAUGCUAUGUGACAUCUGAAGCCACUAAUUGCCCAUCUUCCCUGAAGCAAUGUGCUGACAGUAUCCUGUCCUUUUUUCUGAGUGUCUGCUAACAGGUCUGCCUGUGAUUAGGAGGAGCACUUAUACUGCUACUAAGUCACUCUGCACCUUCAACAGCUGACACCUAUAAGCAGCUCCUUUGUUUUACAGUAAAGCAAAUUCAAUAAUUAAUGGCCUUAUGGAGAAUUCCAAUCCACAGCCUCUUUGAACAGGGCUGCAAAAGCAUCCCCAAACUGUAAAAUUGUUUCUUCAAGUAGAAAUAAAUCACCACUUCUUGCAUUUUAUCAUACAACCAGGUGCCAUGGGCCCCAGAGUCAACCCUUCCCUAAUGGUCUGAUAAAGGAGAUAAGAAAUAGCUGAGUGCUCAUGGGUGACUUGUGCAAUAUUUUACAAAUAUGAGAGAGAAAUAAAUAACACAGUACUGUAGACAUGGCAAUGAUAUCCUCUGAAAAACUUAAAAUGCCCUCUCCACUGCCACCCAAUUUCUGUCAUGUUUUAAAUAUCUAACUCAAGCUUGACUUCUUCCAUGAGGUAGCUUUUCUCUGAUUACUCCAGCCUAGAAAAAUUUAUUCAUUCAAUAUUUCUUUAUUGAGCACCUACUGUAUACCAGACAUUGUGCUAGAUUCUGGAGAUAGAAAAUAUAAACAAUCAAAACCUCUAUCUGGUGGCUACAUUCUCUAGUCUACUAAUAGAAGUACUGUUUAUACUCCUGCAUCUUUCACAGAUAGCAUCUCCUGGAACUCACAUUACUCUUCAUUUUACAAAAUAAUUAUUAACAUGUCUUUUUAAGUAGCCAUUUCUGAUUUCUUUUUUUUUUUUUUUUUUUUUGAGAUGGAGUCUCACUCUGUUGCCCAGGCUGGACUGCAGUGGCAUGAUCUUGGCUCACUGCAACAUCUGCCUCUCGGGUUCAAGCAAUUCUCAUGCCUCAGCUUCCCAAGCAGCUGGGAUUACAGGGUGCACCACCACGCCCAGCUAAUUUUUGUAUUUUUUUUAGUACAGAUGGGGUUUCACCAUGUUGGCCAGGCUGGUCUCAAACUCCUGACCUCAAGUGAUCCACCUGCCUUGGCCUCCCAAAGUGCUGGGAUUACAGGAGCAUUUCUGAAUUCUUUUAUAUUCUGCUAAGAGAAGGUGCUGCAUAAAUACACAUUGAAUGAAUAGUUAGCUAAUUAUGUGAAAAUAUAUAUAUAUAUAUAUAUAUAUAUAUAUAUAUUUUUAGUAUUCCUAUCUGGAUUGUAAGUUUCUUGAAAAGUAGGGAUUCUUCUGUUCACAUUUCUGUAUCUUCUAGACCAUCAGCACAGUUCUAGGCACAUGGCUCAUUCUCAGUACAUACUUAGUUAAAUUCAGUAAUUCUGCUAGAAAUGGGAGUUCCUAUUCUACAUUUAUACCAUUAAUCGCACUCUAGAUUUAGAAAAUGGGAAGUCUAAGGCAAAGGAAAACAAGAUGGUCAGUUCUAAGUGACAGUCCCCUCAACAUGCUCGCUAAGCUUUCUCUCUGACCAAAGCACUGUGUUUUUGAGAGAGGAAUAAAGUCAUAUUUCAUCUGUGGGGAUUUACCUAAACCACCUGUGGAUUGCAAGAAGAAAACCAGAAUGGAAUUAGAGCAGCAAGGCUGACUUUGGACAGCAAGACCACCCAUAGAAACAUCCAUCAUGUGACCCACACUGGAUCUGCCUGCCAAAGGACCAUGAACUCAGGAGUCAGAGCCACCUGCCCUGUCGGGGGAACGGCUACAGCCCAAACCAGUCCAGGAAGGCCUGGGUAUCCUCAUCACCCCAUGUACCCACACUGCUGUCUUUUGUUUCAGCCUCUUGAAAUCCAUCUCCUAGAAUAGCCAGUUUUGCUCUGAUAAGCCACAACUAAGAAAGUCAGUGAACUGGGGCUGACCUCUGUGGGGAGAUGGGUCAAUAUCCUCUACUACCUUAGGUGAGAUUAGAUGGAUUGAUGUUGUUCUCCCAAUCCCCAAGGUGUGAGCACACCAUUAGCAUUGGUAAAGCAUACCCAAGCAGCAGCCCAGGAAUGGCAUCAGGACAUCCGUGUAUCACCCCCAAAGGCAUUAACCUGAAUCAGAGCAUUCUAAGUUCUAGACACACUUGAAAGCUGUCUCAGGGUUUGCCAUCUGAAAAUUCAGAGAACUUACCCUGAAGCCAUCCUCCCUACUCCUCAAAUUAGAAAGUGCCCCAGGACCUUCAAAAUCAACCUUAAAUAACAAAAAAUUAGACAACAUUUUCUAUUCCAGACACAAUGCUAGACCAUGCUUCAGUCCUACCCGAUCUGAAUGAUCUGAUCCCUGCUCAUGUUGGGACAGCCUGGAAGUAGUCCUGCCUCCUCCCCCAUCCUUGCGAUCUGAGACAGAUCCUGAGGAAGCUGCUCUUGGAAGCCAGCAAUGGCAUUUAGUCAUGCAAAGCAAUGAGCUGACUUCAUUUUCCUCAAUAAAUAUUUCAUUGAGAUUCAGAGAAAUAACAGAAAUCUUACUCAUGAGAUUUAUGUUUGUCUUAAUGAUUCACAGCAUAAUUUGUUGCAAAUUAAAUAUUUAUUUUAAUAUCUUCUUGGGUCUGAAAACUUCUGUCCAUUUAUCAGUGAGUCUUUGUACCAUCAGUCCCCUCACAGAUGUGAAGACAUUGGGAACAGUCUAAUUCUUCUCUGAAGUGGGAGUUUUUCCUUUCCAGCUCCCUCUUAAUGAGGAGCCUGCACCACAUCUGUGCAACAGUUGCACUGUCUCUGACACAUCCCCCAGGGCCCUGUCAGUCAGCUUCCACUCCCUGUUGCCUCUCGCCUUGCAGGUCUCAAAUCUACACACAUUCGUAAAAGGCUUACCUGCUCAGCUACCUCUCCCACCUCUCCCAGCCACAGAAUCCCAGAGACACUCUCUGUAAAACAAGGUGGGGGUUGAGAGAAGGAAGAAAGCUGGGCUCUCAUUACAGUAUGAUGAAAAGGAGACCGGAAUUGGAACAAAGAGCUCUGAGUUCAAUGUCACUACUCCAUGGACAUACAGUCUUAUGACAGUCACUUAUCUGGCCACGUCCUACUUGUAAAAUGGGGAUACAUAUACUGCUGAAAGACUCAAGUGAGAUAGAUGGUGGACAUGCUUUAUAAACUGUAAAGAAUGACAACUACCUGCCAGAGUUGUGACAAUUAAAUGAGAAGACGGAUUUCCAGUGUUUGGAACAAAUCUGGUAUAUAAUAAAUGUUCAAGUAAGACAUCGUUAUAAAAAUAUGAGAAAUUAAAUAUGUUUACUUUUUUUAGAGUGCAAUGACUAUUUAGGCCUCACUGCCUGGCAUUUACAUGUGGCCUAAGGGAACAUGUCCCAUGACUCACAUAGAGAGAUGCACAGAAGUCUUAGGAAUCUCCAGAGCCCACGUGAGGGACAGAGGGCUUCUGUGGAUGCAUGGAAGUGUCUCCUGCAACUCCACGGAAUGCUUCUGGGGGCUGGAAAGUUGUACUUUUUAAAUGUUCACAUGUAUAUCUUUGCAGUCUCCUGCAGAAACCCUCUCUCCCACAGAGAUGGCAUAAUCCUAACUAAGUUGCUAAAACUUCCCUAGAUCCUAAGAAAAGCAUUCCCUGUUUACUUCACAGGGAGUAUAGUCUAAGCCACACACCCCCAUCGGCCCCAAGAACAGCCCCCUCCAAGUGGCAGCCAGAGCCAUCUGCCAUCUGUAGUCCCUCUGUCCUGUCCCCCAGCUGCGAGUCCCACCACGUAGUCUCCCUGAAAUAUGGCCCAGGCACAGAUGGAAGUGUCUCCUUCAUCUCCACGGAAUGUUUCUGGGGGCUGGAAAGUCUGACAGUCACCCUGAGGGAAGGCACUCUCCUCUGCCUACCUCCAUGCCAGCCCUCAGGGAGGUUUCCUGGAUGAUCCCUAAGAGGAGGCAAGAUGGAUCUGGGAGGAGGGAAUGAGUAGAUUCCCAAGACAGCUUAAAACCCAAAGAGAUUUUACGUUCAACAUUAAUUAAAUGUCAUUUCUAAAAUUUUUAAAUCCCUGGCACUGUGAGAAAGAUUUACAAUGCUAAAGCAAAAAGGGCUUCUGAAAAGUAAUUAUAAAGGCUUAUAAGUUAAUAAUGGCUUUGUACCUUGUACUACUACAGCUAAUUCCAUUAUCUUAGAAACUAAAAACUAAUGUUCAGUAACUUGGUGAAUGCCUCAAUCUGAAGCUUCUGAAAGAACGGUGCCAACAGCCUUCUUGGCCACCACAUCAUGUUAAGUAAUUCUCUCCUCCAGGAAGCCAUCCCAGAAUAUCUCUCACCAAGUCUGAGUCAUCCAUUCACUCUAAACACCACCCACCCCACUCCCCCGACACACACACUGCCUUAAUGUUCCUCUACUUCUUCCGGAAGAAUCUUAAAUUAACACAAGAGUGCAUUAUUUUAGCACCUAUAAAAGGAUCAGCUGAGUGAUAUUAGCCAAAAGGAAUGAAUGAACUGUUUAAGGUGUCAAAGCACUACAAGGGUCAGAGAGGUUCUGAGCAGGAGGCACUUUUGUAGCAUCCUUCAAAUCACACCAAUUCUGUCUUCUCCAGAGAUGACCCUUAAUAAAUGUUUAGUUAUUUAAAUAUAAAAUAAUUUGCUGAUUCUCCCCACCCCCAGAAUGUUCAAGGGAAAAAAAAAAAACACUGUUUUUCUUUUCCAUAAAAGAAAUUCCUAGUAUAGACCCCUAGCUCAGGGCAGCAGGUCAACAAAAUACACUUGACCACACACCAGCCAGUCCCCCCUUCUCUCCCUCUGAGCUGAUGCAGAUCAGAAGGAAGCCUGCAAGGUCUGAAAUCUGACCUUCCAUCUGCCACUUGAUCUUCCAUCUGCCACUUCCCCAAUUCAAAAGGGGCUAGGGGCUGGAGGAUACAGCAAGAAAGAUCUCCAGGGAUCCACUUGGUGGUGAGCAGAUGUUAAUUUGGACUCCAAAUAGGAUAGAGUAACUCUGCUUCAAAGCAAGAGGCCUAAGGUCACAGUCAAAGACACUUUGGUGGACAAAGGAGAUUCCAAGAUGUUACUGAACAGUCCAACAUCUGACUCUGCCUCCAGGAAUCUACAGUAUAGGUACAGUAGUCUCUCCUUAUGCGUGGUUUUAUUUUCCACAGUUUCAGUUACCUGUGAUGCAAUAUAAUAAGAUAUUUUGAGAAAGAGUGAUACCACAGUCACAUAACUUCCAUUAUAUUGUUAUAAUUGUCCUAUUUAUUAUUAGUUAUUGCUGUUAAUCUCUUACUGUUCCUAAUUUAUAAAUUACAGUUUAUUGUAGGUAUGAACAUACAGGGAAAAAACAUAGUAUAUUUAGGAUUCAGUACUAUCUGUGGUUUCAGGCAUCCACUGGGGAUCUUGGAACGUAUCCCCCUCAGAUAAGGGGGAACUACUAUAUUCUCAUCAUCAUUUCUGGACAGAAGAGAGGAAAGGAUACAAGACUUAAGAUAAGAAAAGCUAGAUUAGAACCUAAUUAUGCAUACCAUUAUCCAGGCUGAAUGACUUUGUCAAGUCACUUAACUUAUUUCAGCCUCAGUUUCCUGAUCUGUAAGAUAGGAUCUAUACUAUUUUGAAGGUUGAGAUAAGCACUUAGGACAGUUCCUGGCACAUAGGAAGUACUUAAUCAAUAUAAAAAAAAUUACUUAGUGAUAAUACAACCAUUAUCAACAGGCCACAUUCUCCAAGUUCUUUUUCCAGUACAAGGACUAGAUUUUUACUAUCUGUCUAUGCUAUUUUUGCUGGCCCUUGCAUGACUAAUAAAAUGCUACUAAAAGACUACCAGCUGGAACAGAAGAUGUAGUCUCUAGCCAUGACCAAAGAGAAGAUAUCUGGCCACCAGAGGGAAGAGAGCUGGGCUGCAGCCUUGGCCUCAUGAAUAUAACAUCCAGGCCAACUAAGCCAGCAGUACCAUACGGAUAUUCUAAAACAUCACUGUCACUGUAAGAUAAAUAUGCACCAUACCCUUCAUUUGAGUACAGAAGUUUUAAGUCACCAAAUUUGAUUCUUUGUGGACCAUACACUGAUAAAUAGAUCUUAUCUUUAAAAAUGCAUCCCCAUUUUUGUUGACAAUCCUGUCUCCCACAGUGAGAAAUGUUCCUGGAACCAGGGUCUGUUUCAGGAAACCAAUUUAAAUUCAUGAAGCUUCUGGUAUUUAUGAUAAAAUGAAAGUAAAUCUAGUUGAAGCAAAGACCUACAUUCCCAAGACAACUGACCAUUCAUUUAUUAGUUGCUGCCCCUAGCUAACACCCAAACCACAAGCUGCCGUUGCUCGACCUCCCUGCAGGAACCCUGGUCAUUCAGAAGUACCAGGGUGAAGCUGAAAAAGAAGGGGGAACAAAUAGCUUUAAAUCAAGGGACACACCCUCUACAGCCAAGGUCAACACCCAGGAAGGGCAGCAGGGCUCGGACAGUGGCAGAAAGACUCCACCCAUACAGCACUUUGAACAGAAGCUCUCUUCCAACUGGAGGCAUAGAGCUAGCUGCUAAUCUGACGGACGCCCAAAACAGAGAAGUGGGUAAAAAUAAAAUUACGACUGCUCCCGUGAGAAGGCCAGGAAGAGAACAUAUCGAAACAAUCAUGGCCUGCAGCCCUGCCUAACACCAGUGCUGCUAAGUGACCUCAGCCAAAGGCAGGAAAUGAUUGAUCAAGUUACUUUUCUUGCUCAAAAUAUCCCAAUGGCUGCCCAUAGACUACUGAAUAAAAUCCUAGCAUGGGACCGAAAGCCCACCCAACCAACCUUUCCAGCUUUCUCUCUCAAUAUUCCUAAUCUCCUUCAUACACAUUCACAAUGUGUAUAAACACACAUCCACCACAUAAAGACUAUUUCCCAAAUUCUCCCUUCUUCUCUAGGCCUCCUCUAUCUCCACAAGCCCAACUUUUACCCAUCCUUUAAGGCCCUUUCAAGAUCAAAUCCACAGCUGAAAUUCUCCUCCUCAUUUUCUCUGCUCCCAUGGCACUUUCUAACUGGGUAAUGUCUUCCCUUCACUGUCAUUCUCAUGAAGACAAAGAUUCUGCCUCUCUUGUUCACACUCAUAAUAGUGCCUGCACAGGGUAGGCAUUCAAUACAUAUUUGUUAAAUUGGGGAAUACUACCUCACUGACGGGAAGUUUCUUCUGUGACUUGAGUUUCCUAGCCUUCACCAGACAAGACAUCCCAUUAACAGAGGCAAUCCAAAUUCCACUGGCUUUGGCCUGAUCUUCUUCCUCAUGUUGCACCUCAGCCCCUGAAAAGUUUCAUCUCACUAUGUCCAGGAGCCCCACUCAUAUCUCCCCAUGCUCAUUCCUGCUCACAAAGCAUUGUCAGCCGUACCUGCCAUGUCCUUCCUCUGCUGCUCUGGCUGCCCGCUGUUGCUGGAGGAUGCCUGGGGUGCCCUCUGUGAGGACACCAGUGUCGGAUCCAGAGUGCUUGCUCCAGGGUUCUCAAAUCCCCAAUAUUCCAAGUGCCAAGUAGCCUGAGUUCCCGAAGUCUUCACUAUGCCAGGAUCAAGCCUUGAUGGAAGCUAAGUCCAUCUUCCCCACUGUGUUCACAAGAUCAGCAUCAUCUGUCCCCAUAUGUCACACAGAGCCCUCAUGAAAACAGCAGACAGCUCCUUCAACUUUUGCACAGGGUUCCUCUCCUCAGGGCUCAGAUGUGAGCCCACGGCAUUGGCUAAAGAAGAACCCCUGGGAAAAAGAGCUCAUGGUAUCCCCAAAUCCCAUUUCUCUCUUCCUCCCAUCCAAAUCCAUCAUACAAACAGGUACCAAGGGGUGCUUGCCUCUCUGAUGAAAUGGCCAGAACAUAUCCAAAUGCCGAUAAUGGCCACUUUGAAGACUGAAGUUACACUUCUACCUCUACAUAACUGUUCUUCCAACCUGCUCCCUCAAGCCUGGUCCCUCAUCCAGCUGCCUGAGGUGGUGACAAAAGGCUGCCUUUUAACCCUUUCUCUUACCUUUCUCCUUUUAAAAAUAUUUCCACCCAGGGCCUACUCUCUACCCUUCCAGCACUACCAAAGACCCUGUUGCCUCAGCUCCUUCCUUUCUGGGUUGAGACAGAUAUUCACCAUGGCCCUUGGAUCCUUCUCUCCUUAAGUGGUUGAUAAGAACGGGUUUCUGAAGAUACUGCCCAGAAUAUGAUGAUUUAUCGAUGCUGACGCCUUCUAAUGCCUGCCAGUUCAUGUAUUUAUUAUUCUGGGCUGGGCCACUCAAGCUCUUAAUCUUAGGAGAAGGAACUCCAGUGAGGCAGGAUGUACCUUGAGCCUCGCAGGCUGAGCCAGCAGGAGAUAGCAGGGCACCUGCCCCCUCUGAGGCAGCCCAGCUCAGCCACCUGGCCAGUAGUCUCCAGGUGAGGAGGCGGGGCCUUAAAAGAAACUACCAAUGGCUUCACUCCUGCAGGAAACAUAUCCCAGUCACAAGCAGGUACACAGGUACAGCCUGAAGCUGAAGUUUCCCCCAGGGCCUUGGGCCACACUUCAAGAGAAAUGGAAGUUAGUCAUCGACUCUCUUCCAAUUCAACUUUUGAUUAUCCUCUUUCAAAGCCCAGAUCCUCACAUGCAUAUUCUAUCUCCGUACCCUUUCAAAACCUGCCUUCCUAAGCCUUCAGUCCCCAGAGCACCUUAUAACCACUCCACCAUCCCCUUCUCAUCCAAAAGUUAGAUUUUAGGCAAUACAGGUUAAGAAUUAAUAACUAACACUUAUUGAGCCUUUAACAUGCGUAACAUCACCUAAUCCUUACAAUAACACUAUAAGGUAAACAUAGGAUAUUAUUGGCAUCUUACAGAUGAGGAAACCAAGGCCUAGAGAGGCUGUGACAUGCCCAGUGUCACACAAUAGUAAGUGGUAGAGCUAUGAGCUAAACCAGGCUGUUUUUAUUUCAAAGCCUCCUCCCACUUAACUACUCAGCAUACUGCCUGAAAAGCAAGCCAAUCAGCUAAACAAACCUCGUCACUGGGCUUGACACAUCCGAAUUUAUUAACUAUUUUUCCUUUGGUUUUUUUAAAGGAGUCUGGUACAUAAAUCAACAGCUUUAACUGGUGGGAUUGAAGAAUGAAACGGCAUGGAGGUAAUCAAAGGAGACAUGCAGUUAUGUAGUACAUGAAAGUAUAUCUACAAGUACAUGUAGAUACACUUUCAAUUCACUUUUACCCUACUUGUCCCCACCCUCCCCCAAAACCCAGCUGUACUCAGCUGCUCGUGACCAAAAAUAUCACCCCAUGCCUACUUUCAACCUGCUUGGCACACUUCCUUUGGGUAUCUUCUUUGAGGGACUUUCAAGAGCUAGCAACCUGUGGCAAAUGACAAACUAGGAAGGGGGACUUCUAAGAUGAGAUCAAGCCAUAGAUAUAGGAUAUGGAAAACAGAAGGUGGAAAGAUGGACCCCAAACCUGUGGAAGGCUAGUGUUCAGGAAUUGGACCUCUGCUCAUUAGAUACUCCAGUGGUGCAGUUGGGGACAGGCAGGAUAAAUUCCUAUCUCUCUCUGGGGCCUCUUGUCCAAACAGGAGGAUCUGGUUUCUGAACUUCUGGGAGCAAGCCAGAACUUGGAAAAGAUCAUCUUUGUACCUUCAUACCUCGCCUUCUGUGGUCUCCUGCUCCCAGGUAACAAAGGCAGGUAUAUUAGAUCAAGAAAAACCUUCUGCCCUGCUAGGGAAGGGAUGCUCAUGUUUCCAAGUUUUUGGAGGAUUCUUUUUUUUUUUUUUUUUGUGAGAUGGAGUCUCACUCUGUAGCCCAGGCUAGAGUGCAGUGGCAUGAUCUAGGCUCACUGCAGUCUCUGCCUCCCGGGUUCAAGCGAUUCUCAUACCUCAGCCUCUCAAGUAGCUGGGACUACAGGUGUGCACCACUGCACCUGACUAAUUUUUGUGUUUUUGGUAGAGGCAAGGUUUCACCAUGUUGGCCAGUCUGGUCUCGAAAUCCUGACCUCAAAUGAUCUGCCCGCCUCAGCCUCCCAAAUGCUGAGAUUACAGGCAUGUGCCACCGUGCCCGGCCAGGAUUCUUAAGCCUUAAUAUUUUCUUUCUUCUGCAAACUGCAGCCCACCUCUACCAGGAGCACUUGGAAGGACCCAGCUCAUUCAGUGGAAUCAUGACUGCAUCAGAUCUAUUCCUAUUUUGUACAAUAUGCAUUUAUAGAAGUAAUUUGUAAUAUGAUUAAGUUUGGGGAGUGAAUUUCCAAUAAAGCCAUUCUUCCUGCUAUAUAUCUUUUUAAUAUUUUUGAUUAAAUAAAUUUAUUAUAUUUUGAACACAGAGUAUCCCAAAUUUUUCCAGUUUUUAAGUUACAAAGUGUGUUUUCAAUGAACAUGCCCCCUAUAUUUAUGAAUCCUUUCUGUAUUACGUUUGGCUCUAUAUUUUCUUGCACCAUUCAGAGCACGUAGGUCUCAAAGUAGAACAAGAACCAUGACUAUGCUUCUUAAUCUUUAAUCCUGAGCACAGACUGUGAUAGACACAGUUGGUUGCCUACCCAGUGGCCAUUAACCCCCUUCUUCCUUGCUUACAGACCCACAUUUUGUUAAGAAAUCAAGCAUCCAUGUGCUUCAGGGGACGCAAAGACAACUUCAGUCCCACAGGGUAAAUGCUGACUACAUUACACCAAUCACGGAAAUUGCAUCCCCUUCCAGUGACUUGUUUUGGAAUUGGUGGCAAAAUAAUGGCCUUUGAGACAUGAGGAAACAUCUCCUGGAGGACAUCUGGGAAAGGUUUUCUUGCUUUAAAAUAUAUGCAUGAAGAAACAGGCUCUUUCAGUUGUUAUCGGUUCUGCAUGUAACAUAUGGAGUUACGGCAGCCAUCUUGGGACUAUCAGGAUGGUAGAAUGGAAAGAUGUAAGGUAUUGGGGUUCUAAGAUGGUCUUUUCUUGUAGUGGCAGGCUGGGUGAUUAGGACCAACCUUCCCACUGAGGACAAUCAUUUAUAUUUGUUUUUAUUUUCUCAAAAGCAUUAAAGAGCUAACAAGAUAAAGAAUUUCUAGGUCAAAACCUAGGAGAAGUUUAAAAUCCAAAGAGGAAGGCCCAAAACACACAAAAAAAGCUUUUGCCUUGAGAGCAUUUGCCAAUCUGCAAGAAACAAUAGUAUUUAGUUUAGUAGCAAAACUAAGCUGUGCUUUUGGCAACCAGGAGGAGUAGGAAAGCAGAAAGCAACAUCCAGGGCCUCUGCCCCAGAAGACUUUGAUAAACAACAUUCACUCUAAGCUAGGCUUCCUCUCAGAGGGGAAGCUUCACCCUCAAGAUAAAGGUAGCCUAGAAUAAACUAGCUGUUAAUGCAAACCUGAAACCCAGUUGACUGCAACCUAGGUCGAAGGAAUCUUAAGCAUUUUGUUAAGGUAGAACUGGACUGGUGGUAUCCCAGGGGCUGUCAAAAGAAAAUAAAAAUCAUUGCAGAAGAAUGUUAUCAUUCUUGGCUUCAAGGCCAGUGAUCAAGAUACAAAGAUAAAAAACACAAGGAAAAAGUAUACCAUGAAGAAGGAUCAUCAGGAAUAGCAGAAUACAGAAAGAGACCCACAUUUGUGGUAAUCAUUUCACAAUGUGUGUGUGUGUGUGUGUGUGUGUGUGCGCGCGUGUGUAUAUAUGAAAUAUAUACAUAUAUACAUACAUAAAAAUGGAAUAUAUUUACCAUGUACCACAUGGUAUAUAUAUCAAAGUAUGAUAUAUAUGUCAUAUAUAUAUCAAAGUAUGAUAUAUAUGUCAUAUAUAUAUCAAAGUAUGACAUAUAUGUCAUAUAUAUAUCAAAGUAUGACAUAUAUGUCAUAUAUAUAUCAAAGUAUGACAUAUAUGUCAUAUAUAUAUCAAAGUAUGACAUAUAUGUCAUAUAUAUAUCAAAGUAUGACAUAUAUGUCAUAUAUAUAUCAAAGUAUGACAUAUAUGUCAUAUAUAUAUCAAAGUAUGACAUAUAUGUCAUAUAUAUAUCAAAGUAUGACAUAUAUGUCAUAUAUAUAUCAAAGUAUGACAUAUAUGUCAUAUAUAUAUCAAAGUAUGACAUAUAUGUCAUAUAUAUCAAAGUAUGACAUAUAUGUCAUAUAUAUCAAAGUAUGACAUAUAUGUCAUAUAUAUCAAAGUAUGACAUAUAUGUCAUAUAUAUCAAAGUAUGACAUAUAUGUCAUAUAUAUAUCAAAGUAUGAUAUAUAUGUCAUAUAUAUAUCAAAGUAUGAUAUAUAUGUCAUAUAUAUAUCAAAGUAUGAUAUAUAUGUCAUAUAUAUAUCAAAGUAUGAUAUAUAUGUCAUAUAUAUAUCAAAGUAUGAUAUAUAUGUCAUAUAUAUAUCAAAGUAUGAUAUAUAUGUCAUAUAUAUAUCAAAGUAUGAUAUAUAUGUCAUAUAUAUAUCAAAGUAUGAUAUAUAUAUGAUAUGUAUAUCAAAGUAUCAUGUGGUACAUGGUAAAUAUAUUCCAUUUUUAUUUGUCCAUUUUAUCUCAAUAAAGCCAGGAAAAAAAAUCAACCCAUAAAGACUUCAGAUAAUGGAAUUAUCAAACAAAAAACUAUAAAACAAAUAGGCUUACUAUGCUCAAUGCUCAAAGAAACAAAAGAUAAGCUUGAAAGUAUUUUUCAUAAAAUUGGAAACCAAAAGAAAGGUGAUUUGGGAAAUAAUUAAAUAGGGAAGGGAUUUUAGCACUAAAAAAUACAAUAAUUGAAAUUAAGAAGUUAGUGAACACAUUUAAUUGCAGAUUAGACACAGCUAAAAAGAGAAUAAACUGGAGGAUAUGUCAGAGGAAAUUAUCUAGAAUGCAUCAAAGGGAGAUAAAAAUAUCUAGAAUAAUAAGAAAUAUAGACUAUACAACGAGAAAUUGCAACAUACAAUCAGUUGAGAUCUCAAAUGGAAAGAAGAAAAAGAACAGAGAUAAUAACUGACAAUCUUCCAAAAAUGACGAACUACAACAUUUUAUAGAUUUAAGAAAUCUAAUUAACCUAGGCAGACUAAAUAAGAAAGAAGCUAGUGAUGAUGUUGAGCCUCUAAUUCAAUUGCCCAAAUUCUAAACUUCUUGUUAAGAGAAGCAGGAGAAGGAGAAGCAGGAGGAGAAGUGAAGGCAAGAGGAGAAAUGCAUUUAUUGCUUAUGCAUUUUGAGUUUGGGUUGAAUUACCUGCAGCCAAAAGCAUCCCAAAUUAUAUUCAUGGUGAGAAUAAAGUAGCCACCAAUUAUUGAGUGCUGACUAUGUGUACAUACGCAUUUUGUGUAAUCCCCUGCAAAGCCUUAUGAGGUAGUAUAUUAUCAGCCAAGGCAGGCUAGGUAAGCUACAGAUACAAACCACCCCCCAAAUCUUAGUAACUUCACAGAAAAUAAGAUUAAUAUUUGCUCAUACUACAUGUUCAACUUGGUUCAGUAGAGAGCUGUGAUCAUCAUAGUCACUCACAGUCCCAGGCUGAUGAAGGAUUUAUCCCAACAGAGCUACAAUCAAUUAAACAAUGGAAGGAAGUAAACAGUAUAUUGGCUUUUAAAGCUUCCACUUGGAAAUGAAAUACCUGACUUCUGCUCACGUUUCAUUGGCCAAAGCAGGUCACAUGACCAAGGAUGUAGAGAAGUACAAUCUAACUGUGUGCCCAAACAUGUAGGCAGCUAGAAGUACUUAAUGAAUGGUACUAAUGACUACCACAGGUAGAUAUUAUCCUAAUUCUCUGAAUAAAGAAACUGAGACUCAGAAAAGUAUUUAGUCACUAGUUAAAUGAGUCAAGAAUAUACUAAUUAAUACAUUUUCCUGGAGGAGAUAUUAACAUGACUAUCUGCCUUUUGGUGGCUGGAGUAGUGAGAAGAGAAAUGUACCAGUGAUAUGAUCUCUAAGGAGCCAAGCAGAGUACCCAGUUGGGUCUUAUCCUUGGCUAUCCCAGAAUCACUACCCCCAGGGCAGAGUAUGGAACCAAGGUAGCAAGGGGCAAAUAUCCUAAUCCUUCCUUUGUUCCUUGUGCUAAGUGGAGCCUUCCCUGCAAGGAUAAGACUGGACUGCAAUUGGCCAAACAGACAGUAUACACAUAUAUGUACUGUGGGCUCCCAUUAUCUUAUAUAUUCCAGGUGUUCAAGAUGUGAUUAACAGAGUGAGGGGCGGAGAAGCCACAUAAUCAGAUUGGUCAUGCCAAGCUUGUUAACUCUGAUCUGUGUAGGUUCAGAAAGCUUGCCAAAGCAAAGGAGACCCAUUCUGUCCAAACACAGAAGGAGCUGUCUUGCUCUCUUAAGUCCUCAAGACCUUCCUAUGAGCUGGAUUUUCCAGCCUGUAAUGUACAGAACAUUCCCUACCUCCUUCCAUACCUAAUGAUGACACUGUCUACCUCCUCCCUCCCAGCACCCCACAUCUGUUGGCAAGCUCUCUUGGCUGCCCUUCCUGCUAUGUAUGUGCUGCCUCUGCCAGCGCAGUCCAGCCUCCUCCAGACACAGCAGCAUUUGUCUGGGAUUCUCUCCCUGUGGCAGGGAAAGAGUCAACACCAGGGUUCUUACUUAUUUAUUCCUUCCCAGGCAUGAGGCAGCAGUUAAGGAGAAGGGAGUUAAGGACAGGGAGGACAAGGCCUAGAAAAGAAGCUCUAGGGGGCCAGGUUGGUGGGGAAAAGUCUCUAUAAUUUCAACUGCGUUCCAACCACAUUGUCUCUAGCUGAGCCCCCUGGGUGAAAGGUCUGUAUAUUACCGAGGAUGGGAGAUUGUAGUCUUAAUUAUGUCUUGAAGCAUUUGGCUGUGUUCAUCCUGAAACUUCCAACAGGAAAAAAAAAAUGUGGUUUCCAUUACACUAUCACUGAGGGACUUGUACUGGGGUUGGGAUCAUUAAAAUGAAAACACUGAUGAGUAAGCCAUGGCAUUUUGUCUCUAAGACUUAACGUCCUUCCUCCACCCCUAGCCCUGUACUUUAUUUUGAGACAAGCUUAAAAUAGUCUAUAAAAUAUGGAGCUCAUUAUCCCAUCUAACAGAUUUCAUUUAGCAUGAAAGUAGAUUAAAAGCCCCAUGCCAAUUAUUCCUCCUAUCCUGGGUUUAUAAGGAAGAUACUCCUCUGGGUUCUUUAGAGCACAAUUCUGCAACAGCCCAGGAGAACCAAGAAGUGCCACUUGCAACCCCACUCAGCUUAUUUUUCAUAGUGAUAACAAGGAAGGAUAGAGAAAUGCAAUCCUGCUUUUGGAGCUUCUUAGAAAUUUUGCCUGGAGCCUUUAAAAGCUGAACCCAAACCAGAUAACCCUCAAACACAUGAAUUCUCCAUUCUGUCCACAUACAAUGACUACAUCAAGGCUACUGAGCACAGUAAAGGGGUAUAUAUCGGGGAAUAUAAUGGAAAGAGGUCUCAAUUUGGAGUUUUUUAUUCUGGCUUCACAUCCAGGCUCAGCCGAUAAUUGUAUGACUUUGGGGAGUAAAAUCAUUUCUUUGAGCCUCAGUUUCCUCAUCUUAUCUCUUCCAACUUCAUCUUUCUUAUUUUCCAGGUACAGGUGUCAUCUCCUCUCCACAGUCUUCUCCAAGGCCCAGCACAAGGCUUUAUAUAGAAGGGAGGAGGAACUGAUGUCUUGAUUGCACUGACAGUACCCUCUGAGCUGGCCCUUGGAGGUGAGUUUGAUGAUAAGAGUAUCCAGGUGAGGCUCCUCUCCCUUGCUGCUAUACUUUUCAGUCAUGGGUCCUCUCUCAGUCCCCUCAGUUUUCUCAUGUAUACAAUGAGAAUAACACCCUCCCACAACAUCACAGGGUCAUCGGAGGUUUGAAUGAAGCAGUAAGCACCUAUCCAAGGUCUUGAACUAUUCCACCUCUCCAGUCUGAGCUCAUGACACUGCCUGUUCUUUUUUAAGAAUAUCAGGACCAUCUGAACUGCAUUUCCUCAUUUUUCACUUUUUCUACUUAAAAAUCAUUUUCUAAGCACUCUUUCUUCCUUCCUUACAACAGAGGAAGUGUUCCCCCUCCUCCAGUCUACCACUUCCAUCUGCACUCUUUGUUCAAUCCAUUCCUACCUCCUCCAGGUCACUGCUUCACUUUAGAGCACUUAUCACAAGCUGUUAUUGCAAAUUCAACUGUUACUUUGACUUGUGUAUUGUCUGCCUUAGUCACUAGAAUGUAAACUCCAUGAAGAUUUCAUGCCUUAUUCAUGUUAUAUUCCAGCAAAUAGCACUGUCCCUGGAAUACUGUCAGUGCUCAAUGAAUAUUUAUUGAAUGGAUAAAUAAAUUCAUUUCUGUUUGUCAUCUUUAAACUUCUAUCACUGGUCCCUUACCCCAGCCUCAAACACAUUCAGGCCUUCCUCCUUGAACAAAAUCAUCACUUGACCCUAAUGUCCCACCAACCACCAUUCUAUUUUUACCUUUCAUUUUCUGACAUAUUUCUCAAACAAACAAUAUGUGCUUGCUGCUACCUCAUCUUCACCACCUCCUCCCACUGCAAUCUGGUUUCUUCUCAUUGAGGUGCUGAAACAAUGCUGUAAGUAGUCACCAAUGCCUUCUGUCACCAAAGCCCUCAACAUUGCCUCCUCUCCACGCACAUGGAGCUCCCUAACUCUCCUUCUCCUCUAUUCCCACGAAAUUAUUAUGUCCUGGCUCUCCUCCUACCCUUAAGGAAUACUCUUCGUAUCUCUCUUAUCCUGUCUCCCUUGUCAAUACUUUCGAAAAACAGUCUACACUACUCUCACUUUUCUCUAUGCUGUCUUCCUUGAGCUAAUACCAGUUUCACCAUCACUUCUUGGCAAAUGACUCAAAAUAUUCAUCUCCUGCCCUGACUUCCCCCUAGAAACACAAACCUACUUUAAUGCAUGAAUGAAUCAGGCAUCUUGUAAUCAUCUAAAACUCAAAGUUUCUAAAUCCCUUUACCAACACCCCAAGUCCUACUCAUCUUUUCAGACUUUUAGUGUAACAGUUGCCACUCCUCAAGUCAAACCUAAGCAUGAAAGCUUCAAUGACCCUUUAAUAUGAAGAGUAAGAAAUCCCUGUUGCUUUCUCUGACAUUAUCUUUUACAUCCUUCUCUUCCUUCCUCUCCAUAGGCCAAUGCUUCCUUCACAUCCAUUUUCUUUUUCUCCAGUUGUCUUUAUGCAUUCAGAUUCAUCUUUAAAGAACAUGACCAGCACCAGGCUCUUAUGCUCAGAAGUUCCCCAUGACCCUUGCUCCCUCUUGUGUGCCUUACCUUCCUGAUACACUGACCUGCCCCCUUUUCUUUAGCUAUCCAUCCCCUUCAACCCACUUUGUGCUUCUGCCCAUGCUUUACUGUCUAGAAUGUUUGGCCCCACCUUCUCCACCAAACAAACUCCUAUUAAUCCUGCACCCCAAGCUGAACUAUCAGAUAUUCCGAGAAGACUUACUUCUCCAACCCCUCUAGGCAAUUAGCUGUUCUGUCCUCUGUGAUCCUAUGCAAGCCUAGGUAAUUGCACUUACCAGUUUUGUUGUAAGGUCCUUUUUACACAUCUGAGUCUCUCCUUAAACCAUAUGAACCCAGUAGUACUUAGUCUACUGGCUGGUACCUUGGUACUGCUCAAUACCUUUUCUAAUUGAAUGCUACAACUCUGGAACCAUUUGCCCUUAACCCAACAUGCCAAUGCAAGAAUCUUCACAAGGUAGCCCCAAUCUGUCCCUCCAACCUUAACUCUUAUCACACAGAUGCUCCAGGCAGUCUGAUUUAGUCUUCAUUCCCCAAGCACACCCUGUAUUUGCUGAUUUCCAUCCUCGUAAUUCAGGGCUACUAAAGCUUAACCCUGUUCUCUCCUUUUUAUCCUGUCAUUGCAUUAUCUAUUGUGUUAUUUGUUAUUGUCUACUUCCCCCAUUGAACCAUAACACUUCACGAAGACAAGAAGACUGUCUUCUUUAGCAUUGUAUUUCCAGAGCCUUGGGUAGAGCAAAGCACAUAGUAGGACCUUAGAAGACAUUUGUUGAAUACAUGAACAUUUCUUCUUUCAUUCAGACCCAAUUAUUUCUCUCUUGUAAAUUCAUAGCACUCAUCUAGCAACUUAACAUGAAAGAGUACCUGCGGCAUCACAAAGAUAUAUUAUAGGUAUUAUAGGUAAAUAUUUUGUAGGUAUUGUCCACACAGAACCAUGAAACAUUAGAGCUAGAAGAGCUCCCCCUUAUAAGUAUCACUUGAAAGAGGGCCAACAGAGAUGCAGAGAUGUUACUGUUGAUUCUUUUUUUUUCUCUCUCUCUUUUCUUGGAGAUGGAGUCUCGCUCUGCCACCCAGGCUAGAGUGCAGUAGCGUGAUCUCAGCUCACUGCAACCUCCACCUCUCAGGUUCAAGCAAUUCUCCUGCCUCAGCCUCCUGAGUAGCUGGGACUAUAGUUGUAUGCCGUCACACCCGGCUAAUUUUUUGUAUUUUAGUAGAGAUGGGGUUUUACCAUGUUGCCCAAGCUAGUCUCCAACUCCUGAGCUCAGGCAAUCUGUCCACCUCGGCCUCCCAAAGUGCUAGGAUUACAGGUAUGAGUCACUGCGCCCAGCCUUACUGUUGAUUCUUGAUCUUUCAGGAGUUUGAAUUGUAAGCUCCCUAAGGGCAGCGAGCUUACACCUAACCCUAAUCACUCCCUGCUCUACCUGGACCCUUAGUAGAGUCUAUUACUACUGCUACUAAUAACAACAACGAUACUAAUUGCUUUGGUGUUUUCUUUGAUAACAAGCCACCUCUGUCCACAAGGUGAAGAGCAAACCCAUCACUUAUACUGGGGAUCCAACUAGCCUUCUGAAUAUCCAGGGACACAGCUGUCCCACUGCCCCUUGGUUCUCAGCAACCACUGAGUAUGCCACCACAGAACAGGCCCUGGGAGGACAUGCCAUAUCUGGGCAAGUGCUGCUUUACUGUUCUCACAUCACAGUAAUCUCCACCCCACUGGAUGGAAACACCACACCGGGACCUCACAAAGCAGCUAUCAGUGUCCUUCCCCUAGGACUUGGCCUAGAUACAUCUUGCCUGGGUAGUUCACACCACAGACAAGACAUCCCAAUGAUACGCUCUACUACCUGCUGACAGGGAAGGUGGCUGGGCUCCCAGUUUAACAUGCAUGCUGGAGAGACAGACAGAUGGAGCUCUUCCCAUCUGUAUGGCAGCAGGUAGAGGGGGCAACCCAUCCUAGACAGGAGUCCGGGGUCCUGGAUCUUGACUUUUCCCUUAGCAGCUCUCUGACUUUAACCAAGCACUUAAUCUCUACGAGCCUGUUUCCUAUCUGUGAAACGGGAAGUGAUAUGAUCUAUCUCAGAAAGGCAUAAUGAGAAACAAAGGGGUAAGAUAUUUGGAAUUAUCAAAUAAUUACAUUUAUCUUUUUCCUCCUUAACAAUGCUGUGAUAAUCAAUGGUUCCCUGGAGAGUUCAGAUACUCUGUUAGCCAAAGUUAUUUAUUAGGUUUCCUAUUAGGAUAUAACUUUGAAUUAGGUAUCUAGGUGAAAAUACAAAGGAUAGUGGGGACAAGGGCUUGCCCUCAGGGAAACUCCACUCUUAAUGGAGGGAAAUUAUCCCUGACAAGAAACUAAGAUUCCUAAAGCUGCAAAAAUUCAGAAAACAAGCACAUACUUACUGAGUACUUACUGGUACCAAACACGGGUCACACAUAUUAGCUCCUUCAAGGCUCACAACAACCUCCUGAGGUAUGUAUUAUUACUACCCACAGGAGCACAUUGUGAAUUACAGAACACUAGCCAUGCACCUAGUGACCACGAGUCUCUGAACGGAACCAGGUACAGUCAGGGGAUAUUUUUCUGGAGGACAUCAGGGCUAAGAGGUUGGGAGGGAAAAGAAUGUGGAUUAACUAUAAGAAGAGGAGGUUUGGGGCAUUUCAAGAGAAAGCACAAGAAAAUAUGAAGGUUGCUGGUGAGGCUCUGGUAUAGAACAACAGGGAAUUGUUCUGUGAUGGUGUUUCAAACGGGUGUGUGUUCAAACUCUUUAUUAGACAAGAGGCCUGGUCCCUUUAGUAAAGUGAUCUUGUGCCAAAAGCCAAUUAAAUAACUCUAAUAGGUAUAUAUACAUAGAUGACUAUAAAAGCCAAUUUAAAGUAACUUCUUUAUGUAUUACCUGAAUAUUUGGCUCAAAUGAGAAGGUGAUUAAAACAAACUCCUCUAAUUAGAAAAACCCUAGCACAGCAGAAUCACCCAAUGUGCUUUUCAUACACAUGCUGCGUGCUUUUCUCUUCUUUUUCCCACUGAAUAUAAGAAAGAAGGAACAAGUCAUAAAGGUUGGCACAAAGAACCCACACAUCAUGCUGGGCACACAUAUGCAAUAGUUAACAAGAACAGGGUAAGCCAGACCACAGUGGGUAUCCAGAGUCCAUGGCAGGCUAGGGACCAGUUACAAGCAGAUGGCCUAAGCACAGAUACCAAGUCUGACCUGGUUAGGGGCCAGAGCUGUGCAGAUAGCUGAGCAGCAGGCAAGCCAAUGACAGAGCAAGUCAAAGACAGGGUAUCUGUCAGACAUAGAAGAUGAGGAGCCAGAAAAAGGCUGCAGGCAUGGUGAGGAUGAGAGCGAGGAAAAGGAAAGCACAAAGAUCAGGGUACCCUGACAACCAAGACCAUGAGGUCCAGCUGCCUCUUGACUUCUUGCACCUGAGCAGAAUCAAUCCUUGACUUGGAAUGUUUGGGAGAUUUGAAAGUUGAGACAACAAAGAAUGGCCAGACAGGGAGAGGUGAACUUUAGUGACAAACCCAAGUAGAUUCCUGGUCAAAGUAGAGCCCAACACCAUGAAGCCUUGAAAACAGUUAUUCUCCUUACCUCCCAUUUAUCCUGAAGGCAGAAAACGAUUUUUCUUUCUCUAAUUCUGGCAGAAUAUGGACAAUGCCCACCUAAUGCCUUCCUAGUAUGAGUUAUACUAACCAAGGAAGGAAAGGUUUUUGACAUCUACAGUGACAGACCACCAUCCCUACCUCCAAACCCCUCAGCAGCCUGAACUGAGAGCAAUAAACCCAAAGCAAGCUGAGGCCAAACAACCUCCUGGGACACAGGUCAAUUGCUUUUCUGGGAAUAUGAAGGAAAGUCAAGGUUUAUCUAGAAAGUCAUUGAAAAUGGUUGAAGUUUGUAAAGACAGUUGCAUGAGGUGUAUCCAAAAGAUUGCGUUCUUACACAGUUUGUUCCUUAGCAAUGUUCUAUGUGUUCUCCUAUGUUUACUAUUCCCAUGUAGUGACUUGUUUUUCGUUCAUUUUGUUAUUUUGCAACAGAGUUCCUUUUGCCCUUACUCUCUGACAUCCAUGUUAAAGGAUGACAACAAGCAGUUCUCAACUCUGGCUGCCAUUAGAAUCACCUACAGAGGUCUUUAAAAUGCCAGUGUUUAGCCCCCUUUCCAGCUAUUCCAAUUUAAUUGGCUGGAGGUGGAAGUGGGGGUGUUGAAACAGAGGAACUGGACAUUACGCUUUCUAAGAGUUCCCAGAUGAUUCUAGCAUACAUUGAGAGGUGAGAACAGCUGGUUUCUGGUCCAGAAUCCAAAACACUUUGUGGUAGCUACAGGAAUGUUGACAGUCCCAAGAAGAUAAUCUCAUUUGUCUACUUUUGUUUUUGUUGUUUGUGCUUUUGAGGUCUUAGCCAUAAAAUAUUUGCCUAGACUAAUAUCCUGAAGGGUUUCCCUAUGUUUUCUUCUAGCAAUUUCAUAGUUUCUGGUCUUACACGUAAGUCUUUAAUCCAUUUUGAGCUGAUUUUUGUAUAGGGUGAGAGAUAGG
Molecule: long non-coding RNA, 52619 nt
Filed under: Homo sapiens (human)
Lineage: Eukaryota; Metazoa; Chordata; Mammalia; Primates; Hominidae
Description: HSALNT0314253
Source: RNAcentral